This 59227-nucleotide long non-coding RNA is filed under the name Eucalyptus grandis. RNAcentral describes it as "long non-coding RNA (EGRA_LNC006660)". The record is from RNAcentral. Lineage: Eukaryota; Viridiplantae; Streptophyta; Magnoliopsida; Myrtales; Myrtaceae.
UUUAAAGAAGUUAGGGAAGACUGAUGGUUAACCGAUUUACGGUGGUUUGACCCAAAUCGGCACCUACUUCACUUCUCAAGACCAUUUGGUAUUUAUGGCCAUCCCACUAUUUUUGAAGUCUUAUAUAAAGGUUGGUUUAUAAUGGAGCCAACGCUCCUCUGCAAGCAAGGUGAAGUCAUUUACAAACAAUUUCUCUCACAAGAAGUUGAUUUGCAUAGUGAAUACAAGAGAGAUUUUGCAAGUAUUUUCAUGUACACACAUGCCCAAGACAAUGGCUGCCUUAUUUUUAGGAAUACAAACUCUCACGUCUAAUUUCCAUUGGUGGUAAAAAUCGGCUGAGAUUGGGCGAACGAAAUUCAAAUUUAAAUUGUCGAGCCGUGUAUUGGGCCAACUCUGGCCAGCUAUCCCACCAUUACUUAGCCAGGUACCUAGAUAUGCUUUUAGACAAACCCACUAUUUUUUAACCCUUUCCAACUUGCACAAACUUGCAGAAAACAUUUCCAUUGUGACGAUUAUAAAUAUACAAAAAAGAGUUUUGGAAUCAUCAAAAUUGAUUUAGGAUCAAUAGUGGCAACUUAUAAAUAAAAGGUGCAGCUUAAAAUUAUGUUUGACUGCCAAAAAUUUGAAUAUGAUAAAUGUAACAUUUAAACAGUUUAAUCUAUUGCAUGAAUUGGAGAAAAAGUAAUCUAGUAUCAGGUAACGAUUGAGGGUUUUUGUGAUGGGCUGUUUGCACUUCAUCUUCACUAAUGAGUAAUGAUACAAAGAAAAAAUUAUAGAAUUGUGAGGUUAUGACUAUCUACAAAAAUUUAAGUAUUUUAAAUCAGGUUUAAGAACCUUUAGCUUUAGUUAAAUUAUAUGAAUAAAAAAGGCAUUUGUCCAUUUUUCUUAACACGAUUGAUAGUAAAAUCUCGAAUUAGCCCAUUAAUUUGAUGCAUUUACUUAAAUGUAGAAUAUAAUUAUGAGGAGCAUAUGUUGAUAACCCUCUUAUUUAAGAUGUCAUCAGGCCGUUUGGUCAGCGAGGGUGUAUAGCCCUCACCUUGGCAUUGGCGACCUGCUGGCCUUCGCUGCUACCCCAUUAACGAUAGGGCGGUGGCCAUAGGUGGGAGGGAGUAGUGCAUUUUCCUUUUUUAAAGUUUUUUUUUUGUUUUUUUAUGAAAAGAAAAAAAGAAAGACAAAGGAAAAAUUUUAAAAGACGAAAUUUCCCUUCACAAACAAUAAGUUUAAACCCGUCUUUGAGAUUGAUAUGGGCACUCAGACCCUUAUUUAAAAUAAGAUUUUAUUUAUAUUUUUAUUUGAGAAAAUGAGAGCACUUUAAGCCAUUAUUUGAAAUAAUACCCGCUUCAAAUCCUUCUUUGAGAAGAUGCUGACACUUCAGGUUUUUAUUCGAAAUUUUUCUAAGGACUUGUUUACACUAGUUAAUCAACUAAUGUCAUUUCGAUAUCUAAUCUUGUUUAAACAUCAAUGUUUUAUUUUUAUUUUUUUGGAUUUUCAUGCACUUUCAAGAGAAAAAUACUCAAAAGCCAUUUUUAGGCCUUUUGCUAAUUAAAAAAAAAAAUUCUUCUGAUUUUUUAAUAAAAUAUUUUCAAAAUAUUAUAAUAAUAUUAUAAUAUACAAAAAAGGACCCAGGUUGGAACCCUCGGUGGGAACCGACCCGGGUCGCCUACCAGGGCCCCGUCUUGGCCUGAAAUGCAGGCCUAGUCCGGCAAACAAAAUGAACUAACCCUGGCCCAUUAAAGCAGAAUAAGCCCAAUAUGCCUAAAUCAUCCCAGCCCGAAUACCAAGCCCUAAAGACCUGACCCGGAUUCGAGACCUUACCCAGGCAGACCCGACUUUCUCUCCUGCCCCUGCCUCUCGCGGCGCUCUGUCGACCUCGCCCCGACGGGGGCGCCGCGGCGAGUGCGAUCGCUCGCCUCGGGCUGGCCACGCACCCAGUCCGGCAACGUCUCGACCAGCCCAGCCAGAGGGCCAGUUCUCGGCCGACCACCGUCGCCAGCCAAGAACCAGCUCGGCCACCCCUACUUCGGCCGAGAUUUGGCUCGGCCAGGCAUGGCUGGCAAAAGCCGCUCGACCCAAGGCCUCCCCAACGCCAUUUCCUCUGUCUCGGCCAUCCGCAUGACACCCAAACGGCGAGUAGACGAUUCGUCGGAGCUCGGGAACGGACUUUCUCAACGCGAACUUUUAGAUCUAGCUUAGGCAUCUCGUCAAGCGGAUGGCACGCAACGUGUUAGGGGGAUCAAGAUACCUGGUGAUAUCUGUUGCUCUUCAUCUUUUUGUUUCCCUCUAAUAUUACACACUAGUUCUCAACUAAUUAAUUUCUUAAUACCAAGUUGUGUGUUAACAAAGUUGUGAUUUUAUUUUGUCUUGUUUUGUUUGUGUUUAUCUAAUGGUCAUUUGCAAUUAUUGAUCUGGGCUAGUUGGACAGAACUGCAGUGAUGAUUUCCGUCCUCAUCAUUUCCCCCUUCUAUUAUACAAUUCUCAACAAAUCAAUUUCUCAAUUGCAAGUUUUUUCAUUGAUGAACAAUGAAUAUGCGUAUUUUUGUUGCAGGCAUACGUGCAGAGAGAGUUAGGACAAAAUAAUCUUUGUUCAAGUUGAAAAGUAGAGUCAAUAGUGCUCCAUAUAAAAAUGGCCCCCUACACCCCUUUACGAUUAAGUUGAAUAGAAAAAGCUACAUUGAAGAAUUAAGAAUCUAAGGUAAGAAGUAUUUUAUGGACCAAAAUUACAACCUUAAUAAUUUUACAAAAUUUAAUCCAUCAGAAUUUACGAAAAGUAUGGUUAAUUAAUGAUUAAUUGAUUUUCAAACAUGGCAGGAUAUAAAGUCAAUUUUAAAUAAACAUAGAAGGUGAAGAGGAGACGAGAGAGAAAAAAGUAGGGUGAAAUUGCGAUUGACCUUGUUUCCAAACAUAGAAGGUUAUUUUGAUCAAAUAAAAUAUUUAUCCCAAGCCAAAUAGGGCACAAAAAUAGCCACACCCUAUUUAUUAUAUUUAAAAUAAAGCAAGCAUCAAAAUUUUUACUUGGAGCAAUGUUAUACUUUAAUUUAGAGUUUCUCACAUUUGGAUGUGGCCAUUUUAAAGAAAUUAUAUUUUAAUCUAUGGUUGACACGGCAUUUGCUAAGCUAUAAGAAGCACCAGCUAUCAAAACAAGUGGUGGAUGGUAGAAACAUCAAAAUAAUUACUAGCUCCCUAAGAAGUACCUGGCAUGCUUUGAUUUGUAACCCUACUUUCUUCUUUCUUGUGAAAUCAUGAAAAUGAAAAGAAACGUUUUAAGCUUUGAAAUAUUGAGAAAAACUUCUAAAUGAUUCUGAAUUCAAAAGAAUCGACAACUGUUGAACUAGUAUGAAAGAAAACAUAGACAACAGGAACAAAAAAUGAAAAAAAAUUUAGGCUUCUAAUGCACAUGGUAGACCAGUAACGUGUUGCUUGCCCUCGUAAGAUCAUCUGCAAGUUCUCCACGUAAAAGAGUAACGGGUUACUUGGGUGCACCGAGCGCGGUGAGCCAUCAUUGAGCGACCAAGUUUUUUCCCAAAUAACUCUGCGUUCUAUGUUGCUCUUGUUGAUAUUCCCUAGUCUCUGUUUAUUUACAUCGCUCUUGCUUUCGUCUCUCUCUCUCUCUCUGGUUUUGUUUCACAGUUCUAACUGGUUAGCUCUGUUCUCGCUUCAGUUUCCCCCGCACCCAUUUGUUUAAGCGAAUAAUAAAAGGAGGCAACAAGAAGAGGAACAAAAGAAGGAAAGAAAAGGAAAUUCUAAAAAAUAAAGAAGAGAUUAUGGCCGAGGCAAUUGCUUGCCCCGUUGCAUCGAAUCUUUUGUCGAAACUCGGCGAGUGCCUAUUUGCUCCCAUUGGACGCCAAUUUGGGUACGUGCUAUGCUACAAGAGCUACGUCAACGAUCUCAAAAAUGGAGUCAAGGAGCUAGAGACUGCAUGGGAAAGGGUGCAGCACGACGUCCAAGACGCCAAGAAUAACGGAAAACCCAUAUACACCGAUGUUGAGAAUUGGCUGAAGAGUGUGAAGGAGGAGAUUGAGAAGGCAGAUAACCUGUUAAAAUGCGGUGAAAGUGCAAACAAUGCUUGCUUCCGUGGGUGGCUUCCCAAUCCCGUGGUGCGCCAUCCAAUUGGUAGGAAGGUGAUGAAGAUAACUAAAGUCAUUCAGGGACUCCAAGAGAAAAGCGGAAAUAAUAACUUCCAGAAGGUCUACCAUGAGAGUCCUCCGAUAGGAAUUGUCACUGCCACCACUUCCGUUGCAAGAUCUGUUUACAACAAAGAAGAUGUCUUGGAAUCCAGGGCCAAAAUCAUGGAGGAUGUAGUAAAGGCUGUAGUUGAUGACAAGGUCUAUGUGAUUGGGGUGUGGGGAGCAGGUGGAGUUGGCAAGUCCAAACUUUUGGAGGAUGUGGAAAGGCGAAUUAAGGAACAGAAGUUGUAUGAUGUGGUCGCCAAGGCAAAUAUAUCUCGCAAUCCAGACCUAAAAAGAAUUCAAGGAGAAAUUGCUUAUGCAUUGGGCUUGAAACUAAUGGAUGAGGAAACUACAUAUGGUCGAGCAAAUCGUUUACGUGAGAGGUUAGAGAGAGAUAAUAACGAAAACAUUCUCCUAAUUUUAGAUAAUUUGUGGGAGAAGCUUGAGUUGAAGGAAGUUGGAAUCCCUUGCGGAGAUGGUAAUAAAGUAAGAAGUUGUAAACUAUUGUUAACAUCUAGAUACCGAGAUGUCUUGUGCAUUGACAUGUGCUCUGACCAACAAUUCCAACUCAAUAAGUUAGAGGAUGGAGAAGCACAGAGACUUUUCGAAAGGAUAGUGGAGGACAAAGUUAUGGAUCCUGAGUUUACAAGCUUAGUGAAGAGAGUGGUCAAGAAUUGUGGAGGCUUGCCACUUUUGAUUGUUUCGUUGGCAAAAACGUUGAAGCACAGAGAUUUGGCUGCAUGUAGGAAUGCUUCGACCUAUAUAGAUGAGUCGAAUGUAAAAUCACUAGUGGAACAAAAUUACAAUGACUUAAAAGAUGAGAGGAUUAAAUCAUUGUUCUUGAUUUGUGCUCUAGACUCUGGGAGAAUUUUCCUGAGGGAUUCCUUUAUCUACUGCAUGGGUUUGGGUUUAUAUAAAAAAUUCAGCAACACCAUCGAAGACGCUAGAGAUAGGUUGAUUAUGGAUCUACAUAGACUGCAGGACUUUUCUUUGUUACUAGAUAGUAAUGACCCGGAAAAGUUCAGAAUGCAUGACAUAUUUGUUGAUGCGGCCAUCUCUAUUUUUUCCACAGAAUGGAACGGCUUGGUAGGGAGGAAGAAUUUGGGGUUUAAAAAAUGGUCAACGCAUGAGCUCAGAAAAUGCACCACAAUAUCCUUCUCAUGGGUUGGCAUUGAUGAGCUUCCUGAAAGUUUGGAUUGCCCAAACUUGAGGAUGCUUUUGCUGGCCGAACACAAUUUGUCUCUCAAAAUUCCUGAUUCAUUUUUUGAAUCUAUGGAGAAACUUCAAGUCUUGGACUUGACUGGCUUAUCUUUCACCUCUCUACCUUCAUCCAUUAAGUUCCUUGGAAACCUUGAGUCGCUAUCUCUUGAUCAGUGCCAUCUGGAGGAUGUGAUUGCUCUUGGAAAGCUGAAAGGAUUGCAAUUCCUAAGUUUUCUCAAAUCUGCAAUCCCUAAAUUGCCCAAAGAAAUAGGUGAAUUAACAGAAUUGAGAUUUUUGGACUUGACUAGGUGCAUUGAGCUCAAAGUUAUCGAACCAGGUGUGCUCGGAAGCUUGGUCAAUUUAGAAGAACUGUACAUGGAAGAUAGCUUUGAUCAGUGGGAGGCUGAGGAUGAAGCACCGCCAAGCAAUGCCAGCCUAGCUGAGUUGAAAAACAUGAAAAAUUUGAGCACUCUAUGUAUUGCCAUUCCUCAAUCUGUCAAUCUUUCAACAGGCUUGCCAUUUGGGAAACUUAACAAGUAUAAAAUCCAAAUUGGGGACGUUUGGGAUUGGUCGGGCAAAUACAAAGAAUCCAGAACUUUAAAGCUGAAGCUGGAUUCACGCAAUCUUCCUCUUGAAGAGUGGGUGUCAAAAUGUUCGCAAAAACCGCAAGAGCUCCACUUGGAUGGACUGCAAAAUGACAUCGAUAAUAUUCACGAUUUGUGCGUCGAAGGAUUUCAGGAAUUGAAGCAUCUUCACGUACAAAAUAGCUCCUCCUUUCAAUAUGUUGUUGGUUCCACAGAGAAUGUCCAGUGCACUGCAUUUACUAGAUUGGAAUCUUUGUUUCUCAAGAAUCUGAACAACUUGGAGAAGAUUUGUCGUGGUUCUCUUUCCCUAGAAUCCUUCAAUAAAUUAAAGAUUGUGACAGUGGAUAACUGUGGUGAAAUCAAACAUUUGUUUCCUUUCUCCAUGAAGAGAACAAUAUCACAGCUCGAAGAUAUUGAAAUAAGCAUGUGCUGCUUGAUGCAACAAAUUCUUGCAGACGAUGAGACAAAUGAAGAUGGAGAUGAAAUAAAUGACGAUACCAAAGUGAUGUCAUGCAAAUUGCGUAGGUUGACAUUACGAAACUUGCCAAAGAUGACAAGCUUCUGUAAAACUACGGACCAUUUAGUCGAUUUCUUCGACGGGCAACAGGUAUGUAAUUGGUUCUUGAGAUUUAGUGCAUGGAUAAAAAUUGGAUAAAUACUUUGUUUAUGAGAUUUUGUUUCCAGAAUAAUUACGACAAAUAAUAAUUUAAUUUUGCAAAAUGGAAUUGCUUUGUGAUAUUUUAAUACAUAAAAACAUUUAUACAUCGGUUAAUUACAUCUCACUUUGUUUGUGUUAUGUUAUCAACAUAGUUAAAAAGCGCCGUACGAUGCAAAGAUUUUUUAAAUAAUUUCAAAGUCUAUCAUUGCUUAAUGUUAAAAUCGAAUAUGAAUACAGAAACAUUUAUGGAUAUAUUCAUAAAUUGAAGGAGGUAUAUAGGACCUAUACAAUUUUUAUGACCUUUAUCUAAUAAUGAAUGGACAUACGUAGAAUUCUAUUAGUUCCGAUUGAUUAAAGUGAAAUAUAGAACUAAAAAUAUUUCAAUAGAUGCUUUACCAAAAAAAAAAUAUUUCAAUAGAUGAAUUUAACUACCUUGACUAUGUGUCAUACAACAUCCAAAUUAAUAAAUUAUACAUUUCCAAUUUUAAUCGUAAGUACAUCAGCAUUAGAGUAGUUGAGACUAUUAUGUUGCUUUUUUCUUCCCUCAAUGACUGUAAAGAGGUGGUAGGUAAAUGGACCGUUGUGGAAUUGUGGUUCGACACAAGGUUUCAUUAUACUCUUAUUUGUUAAACGGCGGAACUAUUAUGUGAUUACAAAUGAAAAAUCAAAUAUAAUAUUCGAUAGCCCAAAUUGUUUUGUUACCUUGGUACAUUAAUGAGAUGUUAGGGGAAUAAUUAAUUUUUUUGUUCUAAUUUGUGUAAGCUAUUGAACUCUUUAUCGUGAUAAAAUCUACCGCUAAUCUUUGUUCUAACAACUUUCCUAAUAUUAUUGGUAGAAUUUAUGUGCGAUGCCCAUGUUUAAAAAUUUCUUUUUAUUAACAAAAUAUUGCUUGAGAAUAUUAAUCAGAAACACAUCUAACAUUCAUUUGUGCACUAUCGUUUUGAUUUAGCAAUUGCUUUAACUGUUCUGUCAAUAUAAAUUUAAAAAGGGAAACCGUUUUUCAGAUUAUUUUUAUCAUGUGACCCAAGUCGCAAAAGCAUGAUGCUCAGCUAAAAUAAUUUAUUUAAUUAAGCAACUCUUUUUCUUGGCUACAAGACUAACUCUCCACAUAAAUUAAUUUUUUCAUGAUGAGAAAGGGGGUAUCUUAGGUUCUUUUAUAGGUAGAAUUAAACCCAUUGCUGAAAUUGACUUUGAUGCCCAUAUGGUGCCGUUGCGACCAGUUCAUGGAUGUUAUGGCUAACCAUGGAUCUUAAAUUGAUGAACCCCUUUUUGGCUUUGGUUCGACAAGUCAUCUGUUCUACAUUACAGAUAUACAAGAAUUUUAGGCCAUAUUAUUUAAGGGGACAAAAAAAAUUUCUGACUACAUAAAUUUAUAAUUACUAUAUACUAAUCUUUCGAUAAGGCUUUUUUUUUUUUUUCUUUUGUGGAAUACUUUGAAGAAAAAUGCCAGACUCAAAUUACACCUUAUAAUCAAUUAAAAGUAUAGUUUUUCUCGGUUUGUCAAUUACAAGCCCUUUAAAUAAUGUUCACUGUUAUGUUUAACGUUGUUCUAUGUCUUUCUUUAACUUAAUAUGUUGUUAGGUCGUGACCUUUCGGUGUAAAUAGUUGAGAUUUUUUUUUUAUAUAGAUGUUUGAAGUAUUAUACAAGACCACAUUUAAUGAAUAACAAAAAUUAAUUGAGUCUAUGCCAUUAAUUUGUAAAAUUUAGAAAGCACAAAAUGUGAGCGUAAAUUCAAUAACCUCAAUAACUCAAGGAUUAUAACUUCCUCCUCUUGUCAUAUAUAUAAUAGAGCCCCAGUAGACAAUAAGGUAAAUGAUAAGUCAAGUGUAAAUGUUUAAAAAUUUAAAGAGGUGAAAGGUAAUAUUAAAAAAUCACUACUUGGCCUUCCUUUACGUCAUCUUCAAAUCUAUUAUGUGAGAUUAUUUUCUUUAUUAAUAUUUCACAGACAACGCGUGUUCAUGGCUUUUAGUUUUAAGCAUUGUGAGAUUAUGUGGGGUUAUGCACUCCUUUCUGUUAAAGAAAAAUCAAUGCAUAUGCCUCCAUAACACGAUUCUCCUUUUUUUUUUAAGGUUUCAUUGCCCUGGUUGGAGUCCUUGACACUAUCUGCACUUCCCAGAUUGAAGGAGAUAUGGAACUCUCAAUUUCCUUCGGAUGUCAGCAAUCUAAAAUUUUUGAAGGUAGAGGAUUGUGCAUUCCUCAUGAGCAUCUUCCCAUCCAAUUUGGUAAUAAAGCUACAGAAUUUGGAAGCCAUCACCAUUGAGAGAUGUCAGUUUGUACGAAAAGUAGUCGACCUUGAAGGACUGACGUCCAAUGGGGAUGUCGAGAUUCUAUCACGAUUGAUCACAUUAACCUUGAGUGACUUACCAAGGUUGGAACACAUAUGGAACAAGAAUCCUAGAAUAGCUUUGUGUUUCCGAAACUUAAGGGUAUUGAAGGUGCAAGGCUGUGAGAACUUGAGGUUUAUUUUUUCUUCUUCCAUGGCUAAAGCACUCCAACAAAUAAAAGAAAUAAAAAUAGCGAGAUGUAAACUAUUGGAGGAAAUUAUUGAUGUGCAAGAAGAAGAAUCAAAGAAAGCUGCAUCUAUGCACACUUUAGUGUUCCAUCUAUUAUCCUCCUUAUCUCUUGAGGAAUUGCCAAAUCUUAGAACAUUCUCUCAUGGAACACACUGUAUUCAAUGUCCAACCUUAACAAGAUUGAGGAUAUUUGGAUGCCCCAGAAUGAUGACGUUCUCUUCAUUUGAAGGAAAGCAACAGAGGAUUACAACUAAUUCAAGUUUACAACAAGCACUUGUUGGUGUCAACUCUAGCUUGUCCUUGCCUAUACUCUUCGAUCAAAAUGUGCGUAAAUAUCCCUGGAAUUUUCUAUUAUAUGUUUAUCGUAGAAAUUAUUCUUGGUAACUAUAGUUUUAUCGCUAAUGAAGUAGUUGAAAACUCUAUCUGCAUGUCCUUUAAAGCCUUUUGCUACUGCAUGCAUUUGUCGUUUUUCUAUGAUGAUGGUAAUCUCGAGUAACCAACUUCAUUCUUGAGAAUAUAUUAUCGAGCAUAUUAUCAUGGGUAACCAACUUCGUCCAAAUCAGGAUUUUUAGGAGUUCUUAGUUGAGAAACUAACAUAUGGUCGUUUCAUACAGAUUCUUUUUCCAAGCUUGGAGGAGUUGACCAUCGUGUCGUGUGGUUUGAUGAAGAUAUGGCACAAUGAACUUUCUAAAGAAUCAUUCCGCAAACUAGCAUCCAUCACAAUCCGAGAUUGUGAAAAUUUGUCUCAUAUUUUUCCAUCAAAUAGAAUAGAGGUGUUCCAGAGCCUGAAAAUGAUUGAGGUGGUCAACUGUACCUCUUUGGAAACAUUAAUGGAACAUGUUGCUGUCAAUACUAAGAAAAGGCCAAAAAGUCUGGUCUUCUUAGACUUAAAUGAAGUGAAGUUGUGGGACCUGCCGAGGUUGGAUGCGUUAGUGACAAGUAGCUCCCAAGUAACGUUGAGUCUUCCUAAUCUGACUACAAUUAGCUUCCGCAAUUGCCAUAGUUUGAGAUAUCUCUUCACAUAUGAUACAUCCAGGACUCUUGUUAAACUUGAGAUGCUAGACAUUUCUGAUUGCAAUAAGAUGCAGGAAGUAGUUGUCGUGGAAGAAAUUGAAGAGCAAAAGUUGAAGGCAGUGAAGUUCUCUCGUUUACAUAGAUUGAAGCUUUGUUCCCUUAAGAGCUUUAUUAGUUUCAGCUCAGGAAGUUGUGCAUUUGAGUUUCCCUCCCUCACAAAUCUCUCAAUUCUGGAGUGCACUGAACUCAUGGCAUUCAUACUGAGGCUACCAGUGCCAAGAGUGGAGACGACAAAUGAGAAAUCUGCCGGUUCCAAAGAAAAUCCACAUUCUUUAUUUGAUGAGAAGGUUAUCCUCUUUCCUUUAUCUCAGUUGUAUCUUUGCUCAUGUGAUUUGCUUUCUUCUUUGUGAUGCUUUGGAUACAUGAUCAAUUUUGGUUCAAUGCCAGUCAUGUUGACUAUAGCCAGAUGAUGCUUCUAUAGGUUGUAUUUCCCAAAUUAGAAGAGCUACUUCUAACAGGAUUUCAAUCAAGAGAUUGUGUGUAAUUUUAAUAAAUUUAUAUGCAUUUAUCAACCAAACGACAAAAAUUGUCUAGUAACAUUUGUUUUGUCUAGUGUUUUGUGUUAAAAGGUAUCGAGUCUAUUCGAAUUUAAUUAUUUAGAUAUUUAAUUUAUAAACACAUGAAAGAAUUGCUUUUAGAAUUAUCCUCAAUUUAUUUUUUGUGGAAAUGUUACUCUAAGUAAACUUCUAUUAUAUAAAUCUUUUUAUACCUUUAUAUGUUGAUUUAUUGGACUAUUACGUGACUACGAAAUGAAAAAAAAAAAAUCCAAUAUAAUAUUCAAUAGGCCAAUUUGUUUUCCUUACCCGUGGUUGUAAUAUUGACCUUCCGUGGUGAUCAAAUACACCGCAAAUUUAUAUUCUAACCACUUUUCUAAUAUUACUCGUAAAAUUUAUGUGCGCUGCACAUGUUCAAAUUUAUUAUUAUUUUUUUUUUUGGUGUAAUAAAAUAUUCGUGAAAGUAUGUGUUAGAAAUACAUCUAGCAUUCAUUUGUUCACUGUUGCUUGACAUAACAGUUUCUGUAACUAUUCUGCUAGUAUAGAAUAAAAGUAUGGGAAACCAUUUUAAAGUUAUCUUAAAAUUACGUUUAUAAUGGGACCCAAACUGCAAAAGCAUAGUGCUAGGCUAACAUCAUUUAUUAAAUGAAGUAACUCCUUUUUCUUGGCUACAUGACUAGCUCUCCACAUAAGUUAAUCUUUUUCAUGACGAGUAAGGGGGUAUCUUAGGUUCUUAUAUAGGAAGAAUUAAAACCAUUGCUGACAUUGACAUUGAAAAGGUAAGUAAGCAUCUAUAGUAAUUUUUUAUUUUAUUAUUAUUCAGCAUUCUUCUAGUUUUGUUCAGUGAAGCAAUUUCUUAUAAACUGGCUCAUUAUUCUGUACCAAAAGCUUAACAAAUCACGGUGCAAGAACUAACUCAUGACGUUGUUCAUUUCCAAAGAUGUCCCUAAAUUAUCAGCAUAAUAAAUUCCAUUAGUUAUUCAACAUAUAUGAGGUUUGUAUGCAGGUUCUAUUUCCAAAUUUGGAGGAAUUGAAGCUUUCAUCCAUGUGCCAACUAAAGAGGAUAUGGCACAAUCAACUCCCCGGACAGUCCUUCUGCAAACUUGCAUCCCUCACAAUUGAACUUUGUGAAAAUUUGUCACGUCUUUCCAUCAAAUUCAAUGGAUAGGUUGCAGAGCUUGAGUAAGAUUAAGGUGGUUGGGUGUCCCUCCUUGGAAGCAUUAUUUGAACCGGUAAGCCUCAACUCUGAGGAAAGGCAUAAGCCAUUGGAACUCUUUGCAUUAAAAAAAAAUGAAGUUUUUUGAAUCUAACAGGGCUAACAGACAUUUUGAAGGGUGACCGUGAAGUAACCUUGACAUUAUGGAAUUGAAUGUCAGAUGUUGUCAUAGUUUGUCAUAUCUCUUCUCAAGUACCACGGCCAAAACUCUUCAUGAACUUGUAGUGCUUGAUAUUUCCUAUUGCAAUAAUCUAUGAGGCAUCAUUGUGAUGGAAGAAGGAAAAGGGAAAACUGUAGAGAUAUUCGAGUUCUGCCAUUUAGCCAAACUCAACCUUGGUGACCUUAAGAGUUUGAUUUGUUUUAGUUUAGAGAAUUGUGCCGGUGAUGGGGUUAUAUCCUCUAUUUGAUAAGAAGGUAUCAUUUUCUAAUUUAUCUUAUAUGUUAUAUUUCUUUGUUUUUUUGUAGCUUACAUUUCCAAAGCUAGUAGAGCUACACAUCGAGGGAGUUCAACAAGAACUAUGGAACAAUAAAAUCCUUGUGGAGUCCUUUUGCUGUCUAAAGGCCCUCGAGGUGAAGCAGUGUCACAACCUAGUGAAUGUGAUUCCUUCAUUCAUGUCAGAGAGGAUGCUUCACUAUAUGGAGUCCUUGACAGUUGAGGAGUGCCCUCGUCUGAGAAACCUUUUUACAAUGUCUAUGGCAAAAAGUCUACAACAACUCCAAUAUCUGGGUCUUGGUGGUUGUGGAGAGAUGGAGUACAUCAUCGCCAAAGAAGAGGAGAAACUUGAAGAAUCAACCAACAAAAUUGUAAUUCCUCAACUUGUCACUCUAUAUCUUCACAACAUGCCAAAACUCAGGAGUUUCUACCGAGGGAAGCAUAUUUCAGAGUGGCCCUCCUUGAAAGAGUUUACUAUUGAAGAUUGUAAAGCUAUGAAGGUGAUUCUAGGAGAUGCCAGUUGUAGAAAAUUAGAGGGUAACAGUCCAACAAAUCAACCACUUUUACUCGUUGAAAAGGUUCGCACUCAUUCUUCUCUAAUGGCAUAUCUAGUUUGUUGUCCUGAUGGUUUGAGUUAAGGGUAUGAGUGGUCACUUAUGAUAACUUAUCAUUUUCAUUUACAAAUAUUUGACCUCCUAUAAGAAACAUCUCAAAGCUACUUCUUUAAUAUAAAUUUUUGAAAUGUAUAUCAAAUUUUUUUCAUAAACUUCAAUAACUUAAUACGUUUUUUCUUUCAUUUUCAAGUCUUAAACUAAAUUGUAGCUGAAGCACAAAUAUUAAUGAGAGGCUAAGCUAGACAACGCCAGGGAUGUUUGCUUAACUUUAAAUAUUGUUCAAUGUAAGAUCAACGAUUAAUGACGUUACAAGUUCUAAAACUUGUGUUGGUUUGGCACUUAAGUUCUAAAAUUUGCACAAUUGAUGCAUUUCAAGACUUGUUAAGUUUGUCCCCUUUUUGUAGAGAAAUUCUGCAUUUUUAUCAUAUUUUUAGUCUUGCAUGGGCUUGACGCGGUGAUGGAGCUUCCUCAAGCAUAAAAGGGAGCUGUUUCACCAUUUCCACAUCGAAAAAUUGAAAAAUUAAAAAAGAGUAAAAAUUAUGAAAAAAAUCAGCAAUAAUAUGAAACUGGAAAUAAAAGAAAGUCCUACAGGAGAUCGCUAGUCAAGUGGGGAAGGGCAGCAUUUGGAGUGCCACUGCCGCUUCCCUUCCUACCGAUAAGGGCUAGCGCUCACCGUGAGCAAGCAAUGGCCUGUUACAGCUCUUGGCAAUUUGGGUGAGGGCAAGUGUGCUCACUCACAUGGUGGCAAGGAGCCAAGUUUGGCAACUGCUGGUGACCUAGCGAGGGUACUGAGCACCCUAGCCAUGACCCUAGGUACAGUUGCAACCCUCACCAGGGCAAAAGCCUUGAGACAAACCCUCCCUCUCUCCUGCCUUGUUUUCUUAUAUGUACUUUUUAAAUUUUUGGUCGCCUUUUUUAAAGCGGCAUCACCACAUUUGCACCACAUUUUACCAUUAAAAAAAAGGAAAAUUUAAUGAAAAACAAGUUUUACCAAUAAAGGAAAAAAAAAUUAGUUCUUAAACAUGCCAAAUCGCAAUAAGUUUUAAGAGUCAUUUUGUCACUAUUCCUAAAGUCAAUUGUAAAUAUUGUGAUGGAAAAAAUCGUUCCACAGGUCCUAAAAUGUAUUUAUGAAAUGCAAUCAAAUCAUAAAUUUUUUAGUUGGUGUAAUGAACUCUUAAACCUUUAUCAAAAAGUGCAAUCUAAGUCCCAAACCUUUCGGUUGGUGUAAUUAAGUAAUAAAUUAAUACGAACAAAUGCAAUUUGAGGUUGCCACAUAGGCAAUCUAAGUUAUCGUGUACUAAAAGGACUUGAUUACGCUUCUUCAAAAAUAUCUAAAACUCUUGACUGCAUUUCAAAUAUAAGAUUAAUACUUCCAAUGCACCUUUAUAUCUUGAUUAUGACUAAAACUGCAAGUAGUUGACAUAAUAUUUUUAACUUUUGGGUCAAACCUAGUCUGCUUAUUCAAAUACUAAUCAAAGGAACUAAGCAUUGUCGCUCCACAUGAGUCAAUAUUUGUUUCACUACAUGCAUUAUAUGUAAAUAAUUCAACUGCACUGACGUUGAUUCUAAAAUUUGAGGAUCUUUUUACCAGGUGUAUGAUAUAUAUGUUAGCAUCUGACAAUAUAGAAUGAAAUUGCAUAGCAAGGUUGAUUUAGAAUCAUAAAAUCCGCAGGAAAUUGUGUGUGUGUGUGUGUGUGAGAGAGAGAGAGAGAGAGAGAGAGAGAGAGAGAGAGAGAUUUUAAAUUAGGCGAGGAAGAAGAAACACCAAAUAGGCAAACUCAUUAGUCAAUGAAUUCAUCCUCAAGACUGAAGAAAAUUAGUAUUUUAGUCAAUGAAUUCAUCCUCAAGACUGAAGAAAUUAGUAUCUUAGCCGAUAUCAUAGGUAAUUAAAACAAGAGUUCCUUAACAAAAGAAAAAUAAGAGUACAAUGUAAGGCAUUUUGUGUAAUUUGACAAAGUAACAUGCAUUUAUUAACUAUACGAAAAAAAAAACUUUUUAGCAACAAUUGGAUCACUUAGUAUUUUGUGUUAAAAAGUGUUGAUUUUAAUCAAAUGUGAAUACUUAAAAAUUUGAUUUAUAAACACAUUGAAAUAUUGACUUUAGAGUUAUCUCCAUUUGCUUUUGAUAUGUGGGUGAGUACUAAUGUGAUACGUUUUGCAUUGUAUAGGAAAUAAAAUUUUAUGCAUGGGUAUUAUAGAGGAGUCUAAUAGCACAUAUAACUAUUUUUUUAAUUAAGACAAAAUAAUGAUUUAAUUUUUCAAAAUGUAAUUGCUACGUGAGAUGUGAAUGCAUAAAAACAUCUAUAUUAGAUAAUUUCAUCUAUAUGUGUUAUCUUAUCAACAUAAUUAAAGAAGCAACAUACGAUGUAUCGAUUUUUCAAAUAGUCUAAAAGUUUAUCAUUGCUUUAUGGUAAAGUAUAUACACAUACAGUUAUGGAUAUAAUCGUAACUUCAAGAAAGUAUUUAUGACCUAUAUAAUUUGUAUGACCUUCAUUUAGUAAUUAUGGAAAAUUGUAGGAUUCUAUGAUGUCAGCUUGAGUAAAGCGAAAAAACAGAACUUAAAAAAAUUUCGGUGCAAGUAAUGUAACUUUAGUCACUGUGUGAAAUAACAUCCAGAUCAAUUGAUUACAGAAAAUUAUUUUGCAAUUUUCGUCUUAAGUACAUUAAUGCUAGGGUAAUUGAGACGAUUAUAAGUUGCUGUUUUUUCUUUUCAAUAAUUGUAAAAAUUUGGGGAAGGUGAAUGGACCUCAGUGGAAAUGUGGUUCUACACAAAGUUCCAUCAUAUAAAAUUUUCUAUAGUCUUAUAUGUGAGUUGAUGGAACUAUUAUGUGACAACGAAAUUAAAAUUUAAAUAUAACGUUAGAUAGGCAAAUAUGCAUUUUUAUCCUUGUUAAAAUGAGAUGUUAGUGAAAUAAUUAAUUUUUUUGUUCUGAUUUAUGUGAACUAUGGACCUUUUGUAGGGAUCAAAUCUACCACAGAUCUUCAUUCUAACAACUUUUCUAAUAUUCCUGGUAGAAUUUAUGUGCGUCACGUGUUUAAAUUUCUUUUUUCUGUAAUAAAUGUUGCUUGAAAGUAUUAACGAGAAACACAACUAGCAUUAAUUUGUUCACUAUUGUUUGGAAUUAACAAAUUUUAUUACUAUUCUUUAGUAUAAAAUAAAAAAAAUUGGAACCCCUUUGCUACCUAUUUUUAAAAUUAUUUUUAUCAAGUGACCCAAACCACAACAGUCUGACGCUGGACUGAAAUCAUUAUCAAAUGAAGCAAUUCUUUUUCUUGGCUACAUGACUAAAACUUUUUACUUUCUACAGAAACUAACUUUUUUUAUGACGAGGAAGCGUAUCUUGGGUCCUCAUAUUUUAAAACUAAAUCCUUUGCUGAAAUUGACCUUGAUGACCAUACGGUGCUGAUAUGACCAAUUCAUGGAUGUUAUGGCCACCAAUGGGUCUUACGGAGAUGAACCGUUUUUCUAACAUUUCGUCGAUGCGGCAUCUAUUCCGCCUAUAGUGCUAUGCAUGGGGACAUUAAAAUCUUAAGACUACUUUAGUAUUUCUCUAUUAAAUUUAUAACUACUUUAGUAUUUCUCUAUUAAAUUUAUAACUACUUUUUACUUUUACUCUCUCGAUAAGAGAUACUUUUUUUUUUUUUGGAACAGUUCGGAAAAAAUGCCAGGCUCAAUUUACACCUACAAAUCAACUAAAAGUAUACUUUACUUUUAUUUUUCAGUUUAUCAAUUUAGUUCAUAACUAUUUAGGAGAGAAUCAUUAAGAUUUUUUUUACACUAUCAUUUGAGAUAUUAUAUCAGACCACAUCGAAAAAUCAAUUGAGCCUAUGCCAUGAAUUUCUAAAAUUUAGGCAAAUUGCACAAAAUGUGAGGGUAAAUUCAGUAACCUCAAUAAUUGAUUCUCGAUAAUAUAUGUAUGAUAAAGUCCAAAUACAUAAUAGAUAAAUGAUAAGUAAGUGUAAAGUAGAUAAUUUUAUAGAAGGAUAAGGGAAAAUUCAAAAUCACUACUCCGUUUUAUCUUCCAUUAUUUUAGUUCUACUAUGCGAGAUUAUUUCUUCUGUUAUUAUUUCACAUGCAACUCGUAUGCGUACUUUCUAGUUAAUAGCAUUGUUAUGGGAUCAUGUGGUGUUAUUCACCCCUUGCAGCUAAUAAGGUUGCAGAACUUGGAAGCUAUAACGGUUGAAAGAUGUCAGUUAAUACGGGUAGUAUUUGACCUUGAAGAAUUGACGACUAGUGGGGAUGUCAAGAUUCUAUGGCAAUUGACUAGAUUAACCUUGAGUGGCUUACCCAAGUUGGAAUGCAUAUGGAGCAAGAAUCCAAGAUUCUAAUAUAUGUUAGAAAAAUUUAUGCUUUCCACUUUAAAAUUAUAGACAAAUGAAUGAAUUUUAUGGGGUGGCAUCCACUAAAAAGAAAUAACGUAUGUCUAGUCUUCUUUUCUUUCUAUUUUUUGAUAAUAUCCAUCCUGUGAUUUUCUUUGUUCUCGAAAUCAAAGUAUUCUCUUUUUUGAAGGAAUAGAGAAUCGGCUCUAAUUAAUUAAAUUAAAAAUAACAGGUUGAGUUUCCUGCUAUGGAGUCGAUGAAGAUCUUGCACAUGAAUAACAUGGAGAAGAUAUGGCUUGAUGAUCUUGAUUCAAAUGCCUUUGGCAAACUCAAAACACUAGUAGUGGAGCAUUGUGAGAAACUUUUAUCCGUAUUUUCAUCUUAUAAUAUGCUCACGAGAUUUCAAAACCUAGAGAAGAUAACUGUGACCGAUUGUGGAUCCUUAGAAGUAGCAUUUCAAGUCCAAGAGUUUGAAUUUAGCGAAGCUUGUUCUACAAAUUCUUUUCAAUUGGGAGAAAUAGUUUUGACGAGGCUCCCAAAAAUGAAACACGUGUGGAAUGGACUUCCUCGAGGAGGUCUUACCUUUGGACGCUUACAACGCAUGGAGGUUGUCAAGUGUGAUAGUCUCAAAAGUUUAUUUCCAAGCUCGGUGGCAAAAAAUAUGACACAAUUCAAAGAACUUUUAGUAAUGGAUUGUGGGGUGGAGGAAAUUAUUGCGGAGAAAGAUGGAGUAGGGAUGAGUGCAAGUGAUCUAUUCUUUCCGCAAUUAACCGACCUAAGAUUACUUGAGUUGCCGAAACUAGGGAGCUUCUGCCAGAAUAGUCAUACUCUAGCAUGGCCACUCUUGAAGCAAUUGCGAGUAAGACAUUGCGGCAAGAUGAGGUCGUUCUUAUUUGCUUGUGAAUUUCAAGGCUGCCAAGGUACAACUACCAGCAAGAACCAAUCCGCACUCUUUUCUUUUGAAAAGGUACUGCCCUUAUCAAAGAUUCUAACUCUUUGCUAUUGUCUUCAUUGGUUUAUGUGCAUAAUUCUUGGUGCAUUGUUAUUUCCUCUAGGAAAUUGACAUUGUCAAACAUUGCAUGCUUGUUGAUGCUCGCCUAACCACACCUGUGAAUUGUUUAAAAAUUUAAAAAUUAUUUGUAGUUAAUUAUUUCCAGCUCAUAUUCUUUGGUGUAUAAAUCUAUUGAUCCCAGCUUUUACUUCGAAGAACAACACUUUUUAUUAAAUUGACUUGCAUAGAUAGCCAUGCUUCUGAUGAGCCACUUGUAUCUUAUGAUUGAGAUUUACCUAUUUAAUUUAAUUUGACCAACCUUGUCCACCAAUUUUUUUUUAAAUGGUAUUAUGUUCACUUGGAAUAUUGCUAGCUUAGCUACAAAACAAAUUUCCAUCCUCGAACAUCUUGAACAUGGUUGGUAAUUGUUAAGCACUGUGGAUAAUUUUCUUAUUUGAUCACAUGUUAGUAACUCAUCAAUAGGCUUAAAAAACGACGAACUUUUUUCUACUUUCAAAUCAUCAACUACUUUAAUAAUUUACCAACUUUUAUUCUGGCUUACCAAUAGAUUUGAAAUUACUAACCUUAUUUGAAGUUACCAAAUCAAAUUUAAUUGGUGUACCAAUAUUAGUCACAUUAAGACUUCAUUUGUUUCACGAAAAAUGGAAUUUAUGCGAAAUGUUUUUUGAAAAAUGAUGGCUUGUAUUGUUUAUAAAAAUAAAUGAAUGAAAAAUAUUUUUAUAAUCUAUGAAAAUAUUUAGAUAUAAAUUAUAAUUAAUCAAUGAAAAGAAUUUUCAUUGAUUAAUUAUUAUCAAGCGACAUAAGCAAUUAUUUUUAGGAAAAUGUUUUCCAAAACAUUCAUUUUCUAUAAAAUACAAACUAAUUUUAGUUACUUGCCACCUCAAAUUAUCUAGUUAGGUUGGAUAGUACCAACAUUUUCAAAAUUACAAACUACUUUAAUAAUCAACCAAUAUUUACUCUCGUGACAAGCCAACUUCUCUCAAAUUACUAACUUUAUUUUGAAAUUACAAACGAAAUCUAAUUGAUGUACCAACAAUCAUCAAAUUAAGAUACCAAUUGAUUUUAAUCAUUGACCAACUUUUUAUUAGAUCUUGAAAGGUACUAAUAUAUAUUUACUUUUUUAAGAUCACCAACUACAUUAAAAACCUACCAAUGUUUAUUCCUAUGGCUGACCAAUGCUUUUCAAGUUACAAACAUUUAAUCAAAAUUACCAAACUUAAUUAGAGUGGUAUAUCGGUGAUAUACCGACACAAAAUUAAGUUCCUUUUCAACCACACAGAACGCUAAAAAGAUCCAUUUAUUUGGGGCUAUGUACUUUUUAUUUGUUUCAUUGCUCAUAUGAUGUUUCGCUUUGCUUUUGUAAGAAUGAAAAACUUAUCUUCAUUAUUUACUCUUUUUUCCAUCGAAAUUUUGAACUAUCAUCUCUAUAUCGUUUUAUUGCUUUUUCACCAAUGUCCUGUCAUUUCAAUUUUUCUUUUCUUCUCUUUUCUUUUCUUUUUUUUUUCUUUUUUUGCUAAUUAUUUGUUGAGUUUGAAUGCAUUCUUCUCAGAGUUACGCGAAACAUCUUACUAUUGAAACAUAUACACUAACUAUAAAAUUAACCUAAUUUGUUAAAACAAGCAAAUGUAAUUUUUCCAUUUUAAUUUAAUUUGUUACCAUUGAAAUAGCUUAAGCAUCAUUGAUUAAUAAUUUUCUUUAUCUAAAUUUACGAAAUAUAUUGUGAUUGAAUUGGCCACACCACAUCAAUCAAAAAACAAAAAAAAAAAUUGGGCAUACCACUAACAACAAUCAUCCCUCCUAUAAUGGCCAUCGAUGCUUGCUCGUCUACUUCUAGAAAGUUGUGUUUCUCCUUAUUUCCCUAAACUGAAGGACAUUUUAGUCAUUGGACUUUUGGUGGCCUAAUUAAACGGAUUCCAUCCCACAGGUCAUUUCUCACUUGGAGGGAUCGACAUUGACAAUGCAGGAUGUUAUGACGAUGAUGCUGCAGCAUUACGUCUUCCACAAUCUCAAAGAGCUGGAUUUGGCAUGCUACCAUAAUGAAAGUGUCGCUUUUCCUUCCAACUUCCUUCUCCACAGAUUCCCCAAUCUAGAAUCGCUUGGUGUGAUAUGUAGUUCCUUUGAGGAGAUAUUUUCAGAAGAUUCGUUUGGACAUGGGGGAGCAACUCGAUGUGGAGAACUAACUGACAUGGAAAAACCUCUCCAGGCACUGCAAAAUCUUAGGCUACUAGACCUGUAUAAGCUAUGUAACCUGAAGCAAGUUUGGAAAGAUGGCUCAUUGAUGGCUGAAAUUCUCGAACAGAUUGAAGUUCUGUGGGUUAGAGAGUGCCCAAGUUUAUCAAUUGUAUUUCCAUCCCCGACUUCAUUCCAUAGAUUGAUGAGUUUAGAAGUAGAGGAUUGCGUUGGUUUGGUUCAAUUGGGGACUUGCUCAGCAGUGACAAGUUUGGUGCACCUUACUCGGCUAUUCCUAAAAAAUUGUGGUGCGAUGGAAGACGUGGUGACAGAUUAUGGAAAUGGAGUAGAGGAGAUCUCUUUCCCCAAGCUGCAAUGGUUGACACUUGACGAUUUACUAAGCCUUGAGAGCUUCUCCCCCACUAAUUGCACCUUCAGAUUCCCAUCGUUGGUGUGGAUCGUUGUCAUGAAGUGCCCCAAGAUGAAUAUAUUUUGCAAGGGUGCCUUGAGGACACCGAACCUAGAUAUAGUACACCUCUCCUACAUGGAGGAUGAAUGGCGUUGGGAGGGCGACCUUAAUACCACCAUCUGAACCUUAUCGUCUUGAAACGAUCCACUCCGAAUUUAGCAAGACAGGUAAAUCUGUGUGCCUAAUUAUGUUUGUCUGAAUCUAGUGUCAAAAGGAAGAAAUUUGCGUUCUUCAAAUUCUAUAUUGGCUCAUAGUAGGUCGGUCUUUCUUAAAAGAAUGUUCGACUAGGUUUUAAAGGAAUUGUCACACGAUUUGAUAAUUAAGGGCUUUUGAGCACUUAUUCACCCUUGCAUUCCAAGUGUUCGAUGAAUUGCUCAACAUAGUCUCUGUUAGUGUAGCUUCGAAGAUUGUGAGGUUUUGUUAUAUGGGGCUGCAUGCUCGCCCACUUCUCUCGUUAAAUUUGAUGAGUUCUUACGGACAACGUUUCUUUCUAUCAGGUGUCAUGCUCACUACGAUCGAAGUGGCUACUUUCAUUUGCUAGAAAUUGUCUCCUGUUGUAGGAUGUUGAAGCAAGAUUUUUGCACCGUGGGCACUAAUAAUGUUCUAGUGCACGGUGUUGAUGCCUCUUAACAUGGUGUCUUUGUGCCGACAUUGGUAUUCACAGUAGGUGCUUCAUUGAAUUUAUCAUUCUUUUGCUAGCUUGGGAUGUCUUCUCUAUGUCAUUUCCUUGAUAAUGGUACUGGUGUAGCAGAAUGGUUGAGCAAAUAAUCAAUUGAAUGUGGGGGUUGCUCUAACAUUUGUCGAAUUGUAUAGAUAUUUUGUAUGAGUGUUGGCUUUUAGGCAAAAGUUUCUCUGGAGUUGGACUAUUUGGAUGGUGAAAACAGUGGCAUGCACUAACCAAAAGGGCAUGGAGUCCAAGAAUCCAAAUAAGCGCGCGUCCUUCAAGCAGCGCAACAUAACCUACAUGGAGCUGUUCACGCUAGAUGUUGUCAUCUCCAAGCACUUCGUCUCGACUUCACUCACUCACAGGGUCACGAGCAAGCAGGGCACUGUUGCAGGUACCAAUUCUAAAGACAUUAGAGGCGUGCUGAUGUCUCGAUUGGACAUAUCGGCAUGUUUGGCCGAAGGCAGAUUUUGGCAAACUAGGCGAGGGAAGUUGAUGUGUGCACUGCUUCCUAUACUCCAAGAGAGAGGGACAAGUUUGAAGGAAAAAUUAGAGCAGUAGUUCAGUCUCUGAUUAACAGUGGCAUCGAUACUGUUGACACCUAAAUUUUGGUGACCCUUUUAAUUAUUAGUUGCAUUAAAAAUUAGGGAUUAAUUUUAACCCCUAAAAAAAUAUUAGUUAAUUAAUUAAUUGCAUAGCAUAUAGUUUUAGGUGCAUUUUAUUUUAAUUUGCAUUUUAUCUAUUGGACCGGUGGCGGAUGAGUUCGAAUUAGAUGGAUCAGGCCCACGAAGCGAGCAGGUUGGCCCAAGCCUGCGUUUUUUAAUAAUUAAAAAUUAUCUCAUAUGAAUAUAAUAUUUUAAAAUUUUUCUGAGAUAUGAAUCUUUUUUAGAUAGGGCAUAUGAUUAAAAAAUAUUGCGAUUUGGCCUUGAAAGAUUUGGAUUUAGGGAAAAAAUCUCAUCUUAAUCUUGAAUCCUAUUAAAUCCUUAUCAGUAUGGGAUGAAUUUUAUGAAAAAAUAUUGCGAUAUUGUGAUUUAUCUUUGCGAGAUUUGGAUUUCGAGAAAAUAUUUAUCAUAAUCUUAAAUUUUUAUCAAUAGUGAUCGGUUGGUGAAAAUGUAUCGCGGAUGUAGAUUUGAAGGGGAAAUCAAAGGCUUAUCUCUUACCCCUAUAAACCUGAGGGGGGCUUCUUGUGAUAAAAAAAAAAAAAGAAAGAAGAAAAAAAAAAGUGAAGAGAAGUUUUUCUUCUGAAGAGAGAGAGAGAGAGAGAGAGAGAGGGAGAGAGAGGGGAAAAGGUAAAAAGUAAAAAGGCAGAGGUGAGGGGACGUUUACUGUUCAUCGUCUCCCUCACGCUCGCCGGCUCUGUUUUGCCUUCCACCCGCAGCCAAGAAGCCCGCCGGACACCCCACCUCCGCCGCACCUCCGAAGCCCGCAACCUGCAGGUCUCUCGCUCGCCAUCACCGAGCAUCACCGACGCUGCUCCUGCUCCGUUCGCCUCUGCUCCUGCCACCUCCGUUCCGCCAGUAGCCGUGCACCAGCGCUGCCGCCUCGUCGCUCCACCUCCGAACCUCUGCCCGAGCACCAGAUCCCGAGUCCCCGCGACGCCGUUUCUGCUCUGCCUUCAGCCCGAAGCUCCACUGCUGCAACCAGACGUCGUUACUCCUGCUUGAUUCGCGAUCGGCCGCGACUUGCUGCAUCUGCUGGCCUCGAGACCUCUGCCCACGACGCCCGAGUUCAGCGCCAGGGUCCGUCCGCCACGCUCACCGAGCCUCUGCCGCGUCUCCGCCACUGCCCGAUCUGCUGACUGACCCGCGACGCCCUUGGACGCCGAGCUUCUUCACGCCCAAUCGACGCCGCGACCCGUCUGCUCCCGCGGCCCCGCCAAUCGACGCCGCAGCCCGACGACCACCGCGAUCAACACCCACGGAGACCCUCUGCAACGCUGCUGCCCCUCGCCGGACCUUCGCCGGAGCCCCGACCGCAACGCCCUUACCGGAGCCGGUGGCCAGCCGCACGGACGUGAAGUUUGAAAGGGAAGAAGAGAAAAAAAAGAAGAAAUCAUUUAGGUAGCUUUUUUUAUUUAUUUACUUUAUUUUAUUUUUUAAUGUUAUUCUCACUUUUUUUUUUCUUUAGUAGGAUUAUUCCUAAAUAUAUGAUUGAUGUUCUGAAAGUCCCCCUCAAGCAAGGGAUUGAUAGUCCGAUUUUCGUGCCCGAAAUCCGACUCGCAAUCCCUUAUAAAAAUCGACAAUCCAAUUUCAAGCCCGAGAUUUGAUUCGCGAUUUAAAAUUAAAAUUGGUCAACCCGAUCUCAUGCGCGAGAUACGGUUCGCCAAUUUUUAGAUAUCAAUAUUAUUUUGCUUGAUUUGAUAUCGUGUAUUUGGAUCAAUUUUAUUUUCAUAAGAGAAAAAAUCAUAAAAAAAAUUCAAAUUAGGAUUAAGUAUGUUUUAGAAUAUUCUUAGUCUUAGGGUUAAAAUCGCAAUCUGAUUUCGAAUUUUUUAAAUAAGAAAAUCAAAAAGAAAAAUCCGUAAGGACUAGGUUUGUUUUUGUUAUCUUGCAUAUUAGGAUUGCAAUCUUAUUAUGAAUUUUUUAAAUAAAAAAUCCAAAAAAAGUGCAUUCACUUAGGUUGUUAGUUUUUUUUUUGAAUUGCAUGUUAAUUAGGUAUUAAUUUUAAUUUCGAGAUUAAAGAAAAAUAUAAAAAAUCAUUGUGCAUAUUAGAUUAGAAUUGCACGUUUCAUUUUAGAUCAUCUUUUUUUAGAUAAAUGGCGUUUUAGAUUUGGAUAAUAUUUUAGUUUAGAUUAGGAUUUAAUAUGACUUAAUCCCUAGUUUAAAUUAGAUAGAAUCUUAAUCUAGCUAUAGAUCAUUUGAAAUUUCAUAAAAUUUGUCUUAGGAUAAAUUAGUUGCAAUUUCUAAGAUAGAUUGCAUUUUUUUAAUAAAAAAUGUCAUAUGCAUAUGUCAUGUAGAAUUAGAGCAUUCUUUGCAUGUCAUUGCAUGAUAAGAUUGCAUAUUAUAGGUUUAGAUAAUCUCUCAUAAAUAGAUUGCAUGCUUAUUAGGAAAAUAAAAAUCAUGUGCACGUCAUAUAGAAUUAGCUUCAUACAAUGCACGUCAUUUAGUGAUUUUUGUUAGAUGCAUCUAAUUAGAAAUUGCCCUUCAUUAGAAUUAGGUCAUUAAAUUAAUUUAGAUUGCAUAUUUAAGUGUUGCAUUUCUUUAAUUUCGAAUCUCAUGGAAAAUACAAAAAAAUUAUUUAGAAUAAAUCAUCUCAUGCUUAGGAUAGAUCACAUGCUUAGUUAUGUCAUAUUGCUUAGAUCAUGUAGCUAAGUCAUGAUGCCAUGUCAUAUCAUUCAUGUUAAAUUAGUGGCAUGCAUUGCAUAUUGCAUGAUUUUCAUUAAUUAAGUGAAAACAUAAAUUGAAAAAUUGCGUGUUAAUUAGAAAUCAUAUUUAGGACUGCUGAUGUGAAUUCUAAAUUAACAUUGCAGAUGCUUUCGUUGCUUUGAGGUAAGUUCUGCAUCAUUUAUUCAUUUGCUUUCUUGAGUGUUAAAUUGGUGGUAUGCGCACAUGUAUGAUCACCUCACAUGUUAGGAAGUUUAUUUAAAAUCAAUUCAAUUGCCAAACAUUUCUGAAAAUAAAAAGAAUGGUACCGAAAGGGCAUUAGAGAAAUCUAAUGUAAUCAAGUCCCCGUACCCUUAGUCUCUGGUUCGUAGGAGUAAAGUAAUUCUCCCAUUAUUUUACUUAGGUGUCUAAUCGACCUACCAUAAACUGAUUAGUGGCGACUCCUAAAUAAAAUCAAUUUGCAUGUUAAGAAUUCGAACCUAAGUCGCGAAUUGGUAUGGGCUUGGGAGAGCCCGAGUUAAGUCUAGGCUUAACAAUUCAUUAGCCAAACCCUAGGUGGUUCACACCCCGAAAAAGUGGUCGUGACAGAUACUGAAGUUUAUCUUGAAUGAUUUUCCCUCCUUGAGCAUGAUCUUGUUUGUAUGCACUAUUCCUAAUGGAAAUAUACUGACAUCUUUGACAUUGUAUUGAGAAUAUGCAGAAUGUGGUGUUGGUUCAUUUGCCAGUUACAUAUAGAUAAUUGUGACUAUUUGUUUUAGGAGCAGAAUCAGAUUUGUUUUGGCUUUGUAGAAGCAUUUACCUUCUAGAUUCUUGAAUAAGAGCAUUCUGAUGGCUAUCAUAGCUUCACAUAUAUUUCUCCAAUUUUACAUGGUGUCUGCAUCGACUCCAGCUUUUGGAACAUUAUGGAUGUCCAUGAGAGGAGGGUUAGUUUCAUCCAUCUUCUUUUAGCAGACAAUUAUUUAUGCAGCUAUGAUCAAAGUGGCUGCUUUUAGAUGCUAGAAAUGUGUCUCCUGUAGCAAGAGGUUGAAGCAAGCUUUUCACAACCCGUGCACUAAUAGUGUUCUAGUGCGCGGUGUUGAUGCCUCUCGACAUGGUGUCUUUGUGCCGACAUGUGGUAUCCACAGUGGGCAGGUGAAUUCACUGAAUAUCUGAUUCUUUUACUAGUUUGCGAUGUCCUCUCUCUGUGAUUUCCUUGAUAAUAUUACUGGUGCAGCAUAAUGGUUGAGCAGAUAAUCAAUUGAAUGUGGGGUUGCUCUAUCCUUAAUUGAACUGUGUAGGGAUAUUGUAUGCAUGUUGGCUUUUGGGUGACCAUGUUUAGUGGUUAAGACUUUAGUUUUUUGUUUUCGAUUUUUAUAGUACUCUCCUAGGUCCUUCAUGUCCUAAGAUAGUGCUGGCUGGUAAGCUCGACACUAUUUGUCUGAACAGCCUCAUUUAACACCAAGAAGUUUCUUUGGAGUUGAAGAUUACUUGGAUGAUAACAACAGCUGGCCAUACAAUUACCAAAAGGGGAAAAAGUCCAAGAAUUCGAAUAGGCACAUGUCCUUCACACAGCACACCAUAGCCUAGGUGGAGCCGUUCAUGCUAGAUGUUUUUAUCUCCAAGCACUUUUUCUCAACUUCACUGACUCACAGGGCCACGUGCAAGCAGGUUGCUGUUGCGGGUACCAACUCUAAGGACAUCAAAGCUGUACUCAAGUCUCGAUUGGACAUAAUUGCCUGUUUGGCCAUAGGCCGGAUUCUGGCUGACUGGGCGAGGGAAGCUGAUGUGUGCACUGCUUCCUAUACUAAAUCAAAGCAAUAGUUCAGUCUCUAAUUGACAGUGGCAUCAACAUUAAAGUUUAUAUUGACUGAUUUUCCCUCCUUGAGUGUGAUCUUGUUUAUACCUUGUAGGAGUAUACUAACAUCUUUGACAUUGUUUUGAGAAUGUGCAGCAUGUAGUGUUGGUUCAUUUGCUAGUUAAAUAUAAAUAAUGGCGACUGUUUGUUUGACUGGUGCAGAAUCCAAAUUUGUUUUGGCUUGUUGAAACAUUGACCUUCUCGAUUCUUGAAUGAGCAUUGUGAUGGCUAUCAUAGCUUCAUAUGUCUUUCUGUCAUUUUGCAGGGUGUUGAUAUCGACUCCUGCUUUUGAAACAUUAGGGAUGUCCAUGCCACGAUGAUUAGUUUCAUCCAAUCUUCUUAGCGGACACUUUAUUUACAAAGUUAGAACCAUAGCUCUUGAGAGUCCAAAGUACUAUCAUCACAUGGAUUGGCAAGUAAUAUCCUACUCAAAUUAUCAUAACUUAAGUUACUUUAGUUGUCUAUUGUUCAGUUUUUUUACUUGAGUUCAUAACAUAGAGAUACAUAGAUAUUACUUCGCCUGCAUUUGUGACUUGAUGGUACAUAAUCAAUUAACUCGAUAUCGCGUGAUAUGGUCAUUGUAUUCUUGUGGAAAAUAUGAGACUAUAUUUAAAGUGUUGUUUAGUCAUUCUUUUUCUUCUGCUUCUAACUUUGACUCUCUUGGACAAAAAGAGUAGGCCUCAUUGAAAGGUGAUUUUAUAUGAUGUGCUGCUUUUCUAAUGUUAUUUCUUGCCAAUUUACUUUUGUGGAUACUAAGAAAAAAAAUUUGUACAUAUUUGAUGCCAUUCUAAUAUUCCUGUGUUAUUACCACAAUAGUAGGAUCGCCUAUGUUGACAUAAGAGUCUCUCUAAAUUGCAAUGAGUUCAAGCUAUAAUAUCGUCAAACCAUCAAAGAGAGAGAAAGAGGCAUUGGAUCCAAUUUACUGUAGAAUUCCUUCAUAAACCCCUCGCCCCAGCUUUCUGAGAUUCACAGAUCACGAUAGUACCUGCAUUUUACUCACUCCUCUCCCCUGGCGGUUGAGCCACAUAUUAGGAUAAAGAGAGAUCCGAAAUCCAAUCUGCUCACAGAUGGAGUGUGAUAUUGACAUGUAAGGAAAGUAAGCUAGUUGAUUGAAGGUGAUCUAAUUGCUUCGCAAUUCACCUAUUUUAGAUAAAUCCACAGCAAAAGCAGAUGAUCUAAGGAUCACUCAGGUUUGGAGCCUAUUGCAAUUUCAUAUGUUCAUCGGAUGGCUAGUAUGAAGAAGAAAAGCUCACUUGCUAGUUGUUAUUGUCAGAUAAAGUUUGAAUUCUGCUCGUCCUCUUGUUGCAGUUUUAGUUGUAUUCAUUGCUUUUUUGGUGCUUCAUCCUCAUAGCUCUUUCCAUAAGUGCCAAUAUGGACCAUCAAUUGUUUUUUAAUUGGAUUAGGAAGUAAUACUCUCCUAGCUAUGGAAAAAUGUCAUCGGGGCAUCUUAAGAGUUCCUAGUAAUCUGACUCUUCCAUUGUUUCAAACGAGUUCAUAAAAUACAUCAAAUAGCUCACAAACUUAAAGCACUAUAGUCAUUUCCAUGACAUGUUUGCACUUAAAGUGCUGCAUAUCUCUGUACUAGUCAAAUGUCCACAAUUUAACAUAAUCAAUAUAUAAUGAGAUAUUGCGCAGCAAAACGUUAUUUCUGAGUCCCAGGAUAAGGUAGCUGUGUUUGGUCGGGGGUUAUUUACUCCUGAAUCAUAUUUUGAACGUGUCAUUUUCCAUGCACUUGGUUUCAGUGAAGUACAAAUGCAAGCCAUCUAUAUCUUGUCCGAAGCAUCUUCUUCUUCAUAUUUCCUUCAGAUAGUCACAAAGCAAAAUUCGGAGUUUGACCCUGUUGCUUCUUCAUAAAAAUUUAUAAGUAGGAUUGAGAAACCUGGUUAUCUGAUUAUCCAUGCUGAGGAAUCUGUUGAUUCUAGGACCACUACUGGAAUAAUAUUUCUCUUUUACCAGUUCUGAAAACAAAGAUCCGUUUUCUGGAAGUUUAAGCUGUCCAAAGUCUCUUCAAAUGUCCUGUUUGAUAUUGUUCCUUGCCAUAUCUUUUCAUUGCUUUAUCUCUCGUACUCCGGUUUAUUAGGAUCUGUUUCUGAGAAUGUCCAGAGUAGUUGAGUCUGGGGUUUCUUGUCCUAGUUCGUUGAAGCUGUCAUCAUUCGUCUAAUAUAUUACAAUGGGGGCACUAGUUGACAUACUUUAAAACUCGUUGCAAGUGCAAAUGCCUUUUCUUAUGCAGUUCGUAGUACUUGGGCUAUCUGUGUGUUAAUUUGCUUCUCGCUUAUUACAGUAUACCUCAGGUCAAUGGCAGACUUGAAGAAACUUCACAAAAUGGUGCCAAUUUUACUUUACCAGCUUCUCUUCAAGGGCAUGAAAAGGUGUCUGUCGUUCUUAAAUAGUUCACUACUGUUCAUUCUAAGGAGCCCUUCGAUCAUAUUCAACAUGAAUCUUGCAAAAGUUGUCAAUAAAGAAGAUGAUUACGCAAGUCCUAAAAUGUACCAUCACGUAAAAGUUAAUUUCCACGAGGAACAUCUUGAAUCUAACAUUGUAUCCAUUCGUUUUUUGCCAAAGACCUAAUUGUUGAUUAAAAGCUAAUUUCCACAAUGCACUAACAGCACUUCUUGCUCGAUAUUUACAUGUUUUUUUUUUCUUUUUUCGCUUGGAUGGGGUGUCUAUUCUUGUCUUGCUCAGCCUCACCAUCUUUCUUAUCAUUCGGCAAAAGAAAAAAGAUUAAUGAAAAGGAAUUGCCAUAAUCACAAGCCCGCUCAUAGCAAUCAGAUGAGCAAUGCUGGUUAUCGCCAUUGAGAUCACUUGUAAAUCUUGUCUUGAUGGAUCUCUCAACCGCGAUUAUGACCCUACCGAUGACAAUUGCAAGCUCAUGCUCAUGCCCCCAUAAUCGACCCCUGCAACACUAGCUAUGUGUGAAUUUUAAAUGACACCAUAACCCACUAUGGCCACUUACUCCAGCACUCAAUGUUAGCAUCCGGCUAUGUACAAGUCGCAGUAGCGUGGUCAAUGGGAAAAAAGAAAAAAUUGAAAAGGAAAACGAGGUGCCGUCUCCUUCCAUUGCAUGACAUCAUGUCUAUAUCUUCCUGUUAAAUGACCCCGGCGCGGAUUUGCUUGAGUUCGCGGAGGGAUUUGCAGUCUUUGAGGUACGAAACGAACGAUGUCGGGCUCGGAGAGAGGGAGUCGGAGGAGGAGUUGAGGAAAAGUCUUGAACAGACGUGGCCGGGUGUUGGCAGAAAGAACGGGACUCUGACUCCAGCCAACAUGUGCGAGGCUCAAAACUCAAACAAAAUUUGGGGUUUUAUAUACUAAUGCAAAGUGAUGAUGAUGAUGACAAUGGUGAUGAUUUUCAAAAGGACCUAAAGGGGAUAUUGUCUCAAAUAAGAGUAUAAAGUGAUUAACUUAGGUGCGUUUAGUUUUUUUAUUUAUUUAUAGAAAUAGUCCUUUAAUAUUUCUAUUCUUAACAAUUUCUAAGUGAAAGAACGUGUUUAGUAACUACGUAAAAAAUCUGUUCUCAGAAUUAAAAAAGAAUAAGAAAGCAUUUUUUAUGCCAUAGAAUUUCUUUUUAAAUUUUUUAGAUUUUUUUCCCCUCUCUUCUUCUUCUUUCUCCUCCUCUAGCUUGUGAUUGGCGAACGGUUGCUGGCGAUCGGUGACCAGCAACAGGCGACGAUAGAGGAUAGCGGCGGUCAAUUGGCGACAAUGGAGGACGACGGGGGACAACGGGGGCAGCAGACAUCGAGGAAGAAGAAGUAAAGGAAAAAAAAAAAAGAAAGGAAAGAAAAUGGCUCAUUUAUAAAAAUUGUUUCCGGAAAUAAGAAAUUACUUGUUUCUACUCAUCAUUUCUAUUCCAAAUCUAUUCCAUAACUGCUUUUCUAUUUUGGAUAAUGGAAAAAUUAAUUGACGUUACCAAACAAAUUUCUAUUCUUUUUCUAUUUCGAGGAAUGGGGAACAAAAAAGCAAAAGAACAAAGAAACAGGAACAUUGCCAUGCAGUGCCUUAGUCAAUCUCAACUUAAAAGCCAGCUAAAUCUUAAUUGUAGCUAGGGUAUUUCCGUCUAAAGACCUUCUUUCUGUCCUUUCUUCUUUUAUUUCUUUCCUCUUUCUUUUCUUCAUCGUCCUCGUGCCUCCACCUUCUUCGCUCUUUAGAUCGCAUUCUGUAGAGUCCAUCUCUAUCUUCCCAGCCAACCUCGCCAUCGACGCUCUCAACCUCCCCCAUUAUGCCCUCAACAGCAGUUCCAGUACCUUUGUGAAAAGAUGUAAGUCUAUCCGAGCCCUAGAUCGAGCACGAGUGGGCCAAGAUGUGACACUUUGCUCGGUUUGACCCCCACAUCUUGUGGUCGUGGUCAAGCAUGGCGAAGUGUAAUCCAUUAGCUCGCUGUCCUUGUCGUCGUUGAUGCUUGAACUCAAAUUUGUCCUCGUGGUCAAGCAUGGCGAAGUGUAAUCCAUUAGCUCGCUGUCCUUGUCGCCGUUGAUGCUUGAACUCAAAUUCGUCCUCACGCAAGCUAUGAUCAAUCUCAACGAGAAGCUGGAUUGAAGUCCCUAAGCGAAAUUUAUUAGAGGUGUUUUGAGGAAUCCCUAUGAUAUUCAUGUGCACCAAUUCGUUCAGUGAAAUGUGCGAUUUUUGGGGAUUUCAGAGCGAUUUUCCAUUUUAAUCAUCUUAUUAUUCUCAAUAAAAUCUAUGAAGAUAAUAUUUUAGAGUUAGAGAUGCAAAUUUGUUUCUACAUUUGUGGAACUAGAGUCAUCUGUUUUUGAGAUUGAGUGCUCUCUGAUUCGAAUCGCUAGUGGCAACGAAUAUCUUCAAUUAUGAGUCAGAAUGAUUCAACAACCUUUGUAGAUAACCAGCUUGUGCUACACAAUUGGCCCCUCUCGAGAAGCCACAUAUUCCACCUCAAUGCAAGCUGCGUCUAUCAAUGUUAUGAAUAAUCCAACCCAAACCCAACAUAACAUUCCCUAGAAAUUGUGAGUGAAAGUUAUCACGGCAUAGCCAAUUUCUUUAGCUGGGAGAACAUGAAAUUGUUGCACUAAUUACCAGGAUAAGUUCUUACCAGCAAAAAGAAUAAAAACAAAACCCAUUUAUGGAUUCUCCAUUCUCAAGUUUUUCAUCAUCAUCGGAUAAGGUGACUAGUGGCAAAUAACUUCAAUUCGGCUUCUGCUGAAAUUGAAUAGUGUUGGAUAAGGAUGCGAAAUUGCAGAAUGCAGAGAACGCACGUUGAAGUUUGUUGAUGGGGAGGCUGCAAAACUAAAGCAUGCAAUUUGAGUUUUGGAAAAUUGCAGGACUUCUCGAAUAUCUUUCCAUUUUCUUCUUUUCCUAAAUUGUUCAAAUUGUUUUGCACUUGUGCAAACUCGUGCAUGAGUCUGACACAGUUGUCAAGAAAGAGGUGAUGCAACUGGAGAAGGAGGAGGUGCAAGCAAGACGAUGACAGAAAGAAAAGAAAAGAAAAAAGAAAAAACAAAAACAAAAACAAAAAAUCCUUAGAUGAAAAUACUCCUAGCUGCAAAUAAGAUUUGCCUGACUUUAAAAUUAGGGCUCUUAUUUGGGACUAAGUUUGUCAUUUCAGACCCUUAUUUGAGAUAAAAUCUACUUUAGGUCUUUCUUUUUUAGAAAACAGUUACACUUCAGGUCUUUAUUUGCAAUAUUCCUUAUAAUAUAUGAUCACAGCAAUGCUUAGGCUUGAUUGUCGCAAACUCUAAGCGAUACAGGCUUAAGAAACUUAGUCCGGACAAAAUAAUUGAAGCUACCUCAUAUAUGCACAACUCACUUUUCAUUCAACGGUUCAUUGCGGAGAACUUUUGGUGCCAUCCACUCAGCCUGACACGACCAAGAACUUCACAUUAGGAACAGCUCAAAAUCUCGAGAAACAUCAAGAAUGGUUUCUUCAAAUCCAAAUAUAAAAUAAAUAUGGAAAACAAGACUCUCAGACUCUUAGGGAAUUGUUUAGUAAUUCUAUGGCAAACUGUUUACUAAUUUUACAAAUUAAAACACUGUGUACUUGUUUGUCCGACUAUUUACAUUGCAUUAGAGAAGAAGUCUACUUCCGAAAUGACAAUGAUGUUUCCAGCCGUUUUCUCUUUGUUUCCUCUUUCGUUGCUAAUUGUCCAUUUAACUUCACUGAAAGUUAUCAGUAGAAACCAUCCAAAUGUCUCUCUAUUUCAAUAUAGUUGGAUAUCUUUCUCUCUUCAUCAUUGAAAAUUCUUCAAGAAUGAUUUUCAAGAAAGCUUCCAAUUUUACCGUUUCAGCAGUUGAGCUAAAUGACAAUAAAGUAUUAUGCUUCAAGCAUGACAGCCCAAAAUCACAGACCUGCACAACGAUAAAUUUUAGUGAGGAUGCAAAUGAUAUUUUACUGCAAACUUUGAUCAUCAUUCACAUCGAAAUCACAGAGCACAUUACUGAUGGAAAUUGCAUCACAUCAGCAAGUUUGGUAAAUCUAGAAUCAUCCACAUCAGGUUUCUAUACAAAUGUAGGUUCAUGUAUGGUUGUGAAAAGAGAAAAUGAGAAGUCAGAGUAUACAAGAAGUAAAGUUCACAUGUUAUCCUAGAAUAAGCUAAUAACAGUCAAUAUCAAGCACAUCUAAGGUGCUCACAAUGUCAAAAAGAGUAUCUGAGAAAAAGAGAAAAAGGCAAGUAAGACGUUAGUAGCACUUAGGAGAUGGAUGAAUGAUAUGCACGCAAGAGAAUAGCUUGAUUUGCUAUUUAAAGAAUUGGAUGAAUGAAUAAAAGUGUCAGGCUACAUUAAUAAAUUUUAUGUACUUUGACGAUCUAGUUUUUGUCAACAAGAAGAUUUGGUGAUUUCAAAUCUCGAUGAACUAUUGUUGGGACGCUUGUGUCCAAGCAAUUCAUUCCCCAUGCCUGUAAAAUUUGCAUAAGCACUUAAAUCGAUAUCAGAAAAGCAAAUCUCUAUAUCUCCAACAACAGAGAGAAGGGAGACCAAUUGUUUCAUACCAAAUCAAGGGCCGUUUUUAUCCUGCGUUUCUCAUUAAAAUGACAGUGAGGACGAUGUAUACAAGCUUCCCCCGGAGAAGUAAACAAAAGUAGAUAGAUGAGCCGCAUCCCCCUAAAAACAAGUGAUGUCGUUCCCAUACUACCAAGGUUUUUUAAGGUACAAAAAAUUGUACCUUGGAAGAUACUCCAUAAUGAUAAAAAGAUGUUGAGACGGGCCACAGCACCCAUGAAAAGAACAAGAUUUGGAUGAUGCAGUCUACGGAUCAUCUGCACCUUGGAACAGAAGAAGAAGACACACUGUGAGUUAUCUUCCUAGAUAUAUUGGAAAGCAUUUGUUGACUCAUUGCUCUGAUUAGUCCUUAUUUAUUUCCUUGCUAAAUAAGCAAAUUAAGCAAACAAAUUAAUCGUUGAACACAACUAUUUCCAUAGACGUGGACAGAUCAUGGAACCCAUGAAAAGUAUGACACUCUGAUGACACUGUCUACGCAUUAUCAGUAAACUUGGCACAGAAGCAAAAAGCACGGUGCAUAGUCAUUUAUCUUACAGUUGUUGGAUAAACCGGUAAAGCAUUUCUUUGUCCUCAAUUUUAUUCUUGCUCAAAAUGCAAAUCAAUUACUGAAUACACUAGUUCAUCAGCUUCCAAAAUACAUACAGAUACACAUAAACUAAACUGAACUUGUAAUCUGUGGAUCUUUCUCUUUUGUUUUCAACUAUCAGACUUCAUGUGUCAUUCAGAUAUUAUGUAAAGAACAUUAAUUUAAUGUCUCGGCAUUAUACAGAUCACCAAAAAAAGCAGACCAAAUCACCAACUCUAUGCCAACAUCAACAAAGCAACGGGAAAGCAUAUUGCCCCUUUUCUCCUGUAAUAUUUCUGACAAUGCAGAAUGCACGGUGCAAUAAGGUAGUCUUACUGGGAAACUCAUGCCUAUUAAGCGGCCGCGCUGUUCUUUCCUUUACAAUGUUCAACCAAGUUUUAUUCUUUACAAGUUUUGAGUUCUCAAUAAAUCUGGAAGAUUUUGUCCCCACAAAAAAAAAAAAAAAAAAAGAACUGGAAGAUAAAAAGCACAAAUGAAAGACCUAUCGAUAGCUUUCUUCUCGUCUAAAGUUAUCCAAAGCAGCACCUGAGAGAUCCUGAUCCAGAAAUUUCUUCACAGCCACCUCCAGGUGAACGAGCAAGACUCAAAGAUGGAUUGCAAUUUAUCUUAGGUCUCAUGAUGCAUUAUAGAUUUUAAAUUUUAAGAGCACAUCACCAAGUAAUUUGCAAAAGGAAAUGUCUAAAUUGCAAAGUACUGAUAAUAAGUGCAAAAAAUUCUUUCGAAAAUGUUAAAAAGAGAGAGAGCCAUCUGCUGCUUCUCUUUCCAUUUCUUGAUAUUUAAGAGUAUAUAAAACCACAAGAACGACAAACUUAAACAACCCAGUGUUUAAAGUGCUUCUACCAAAUGGAUGGGGUUCGAUUGAGUCACGGACUAACAAUAUACAAAAAGACUUUGCAACAGCCUAUUCAUUGUGACUAUUUGUAAAAAAAUCUUCAGUCUUCACAGUGAGGAUUCGAUUACAUCCAGAGAACCUGCAACUCUGUACCGAAGAGCUAAACAUGGAAGCGGAACCUCAACAGCACCUACUAACAGAGUAGCAAGGGGGCCAAAAGUAAAACUCCCUUUUGCUUAUCCAAAGUACAAAAGAGAGAGUAGCAAGACGAGGCCAUGAAUGAGCAAUGAGGAAUUAGUUAUUAUGGUCGGCACCAGUCCAACAAGUCGUGUGCGUAUGUCAAGUUACCAAUUCUGAAGCUUUUUUUACCAACCCAGGUAGAAAUUCCAGAUUUUGAUACCAUAUCUGAUGUCACUAUUACACACACUAGCUGCUUAGUCUAAAAAUCUAAAACGUUAGCACAAAAGCAGGACACUGAAGUACUAACCGUCAUUUCUUUUGACUAAAAAGACUACAUGUCAAAUUCAAGGAGGAUCUUUUGCUUAAAAGUAGUCAUAUAAAAGGAGUCAACGGAUAUAAUCACAUUCCAUAAAUUCAAACAAAUAUAAGUCAGGGGCCUUUUGUCUUUUCUCGGUGUACUGUUCAUCACCCUCUCCUCUGCUGCGUUCUAACCUGGUUCUCAUCGGCUUCCCUUGCUCAAUCCGGCCGUUCCAGACCUCCGUUUGGCGUGAAAUUUGGGGGUUCACCUCCUCUGGUAAGCCCCUCGUUCCUCACCGAACGGAUUCGGUUUUCUUCCUCUCUAUGGCGAGAUCAGAGCUGCCCUUCAUCACGAGAAUCGCCCUGUUGCUGCGCUACUCGAUCCCUCGAGGUGCGGUUGCUGGUUCGACUCCAACCUUCUCAUAGCGGUUGUUAGGCGUCCCAGCACCCUCAGGUAAGCCUGCUGUGCCACGGCCUUGCUCCCGAUCGACUGUUGGUGCGUUUGUACCCUUUGUCCCGGACCGCUAUGCUGCUUCAUUGCUUCCGAACGGCUGCUGGUGCGUCGCCAGCCUAACUCGAAGGGGUUGUGAGGUGUCCCAACACCCUUCUCGGUCAAGCAUGUCGUGCUACGGCCCUAGUCGAGGUACUUCAUCCCUUCAAGUAGGAGCUAAUCAGUCCGUUCAGUCUGUCCGAGCUCUUUGGAGCCUCUGGCCACUGCUAUUCUGAGGUUCUAGCAAGAGUUUCGGUCUCAACAGCACCUGCCUUAGCCUAGUUAGCCUCUCACUUCUCUUUAUGGCUGCUAUGUAGAGGGUUCGGGUGUUAGCUGGCUGGGUAUUACUGUAGUUAUGGCUGCUCCAUUUGCUGUGCUUGGUGAGCCGAGUAUUGCGGCCCAGUUGAGAGCUGGAACGGAGAAGGCUUCUAGCCCUCUCAAUCGAAACAAGGAGGCCCAGUCCUCCUUGCUCACGGGCAAGGCUGUCACGCCCCGAUCUCUUAAACGGGGAUGUCAUGCCCCGAUCCUCCGAGCGCGCGAACAUCCCACUCUGGUCGAUACAAAUGCGACUUCCCAGGACACGUCGCCGACCCAUUCAAUUUUAUUAUGCAUGCGGAAGCGAAACAAAUCCCCUGACAACAUUAAACUUGGGAUAGAAAAGCAGGCAAUCAAUCACAACCAAACAAGCUUUCUUAUAAACACAUAGGUUUAUAUACAACACUGGAUUGCCUACAAAAUAGACCGGCUCAAUAAAAAGGGAACUGUCCUAUGACCAACUUGUCAGACACGUUCACCGAUUCUUCAGACUCCACCUUCCGAACUCCAGGACUUCCGGUCCUCCACGACCGUUAUCUAGGGACCUGAAAUAUUAUCCCACAACCGGGAUAAGACUACGUCUCAGCGAGUCCUACCAUCUAAAACUCAAUUAGGAAGAAAAUACGCCUCAGGGCGCUCUAGCCACACAAAUAGGAUAGAUGGCUUACCUCGCCUCAGUCCCUUUCCUGCACGUCAGUACAAUUCAUAUUCAAGCAAUGCUCGUACAAGCUGAAACUACCGACACUUAUAUCGGUCUAUCAAUUCAAUCAAUCCAAUCAUUCGCAAUGAUUCAAUUCAAUCAUAUUAUCUAUCUUUCCAUACUGUCUACCAAACCAGUCGUUAAUACGACAUAUGCUUUCCAAAGCUGUAGCUGAUAGAUAAUAUAAUAGCUCGCCAGAAGCUGCCGCAAUAUUCAUAUAGUAUACUAUAGCUCACCAGAAGCUGCCGCAAUAUUCAAUAUAGUAUACUAUAGCUCACCAGAAGCUGCCAUAUAUAUAUGUAUAUCAUAAUUGCUCGCCUAAGCGGAUACAUAUAUAUAAACUAAGCUGAUCAUUCAAUAAUAAACCAACUCAUACCUCAAUUUAAUCAAUCAAUCAAUCAAUCCAAUCGAUUCAAACUGGUUAUACAAACCAAUUACGGUGCUAAAAGCCAACACCGGGUAUUUUCAAGUUAAAUACCACAACUUCAUCAAUAUCACUCAAUUCCACACUUUUGGAAUUAUUAACCAUAAUCAUCAAUCACUCAAUUUCUCAAUUUAAACAUACAAUUAACACAAACCGACCGCACUGCUGCGAUCAGCGCGGAAUUCUAACGACCGGCCAUCCCGGCAUAAUUUUCGAAAUUAUUAAAUAAUUAAAUUUAAUUCCGAAAAUUAAAUAAUUAAAUUUUAUUUUAUAAUAAUAUAAUUUAAUAAAAUAAUAUUUAUAAAUUCGAAAUAAUUAUUUAAUAAAAAAUAAUUAAUUAGGGCUUAAACUAGAUUACACUAAUUUAAACAUACAAUUAGCCCUAAUUAAACAUCCAUUAAACUAAUCACACAACUAAUCUAAUUUACAUUAAAAUAAUCUAAUCUAACCACCUAAACCUAAUUAGACUAAUCUAAACACCCCUUAAGCAUCAUUAACUCACUAAGCAAGAAUUAGAGGAUAAACUCACCGGAUUAACAUUCCGGCGAGUCCACGGCGAAGGCGACGCCAAGGCGGUCGAUAAACCCCAAAGCGGCGACACCAACGGAGGCCGGGAAGACACUGAAAACGGGCCUCGAAGUCUCCAAAACCUUGCUGUCUUCUGCUUCUGAUCUGGACUGAACUGUAGAGAAGAAACCAGCAACUUCAACGGCGAAAACGAGCCGAUCGGAGCUCCGGCAAGCGGGUGGUUGGCAACCAAUGGCUCCCGGGGGUCUUGGGGAUCUUGUAGGAGGUUGGGAUGGGCAAAGGAAGGGUCGGAAAGGGGCGAAACAGCAAGAAAACGCGAAACAGGCGGAACCGGGCGGGUCCAGACGGUCCGGCGAGCGGCGGCUUCGGGCGGCAGUACGGGACGGCCGGAGAAUCGUUCCGGCGAGCGGAGAGGUGCUCCGGAGCGGUCUGGAUGUCCUCUUCGCGGAGAUGGGUGGCUCGUUUGCUGAUUCAACCGGGAAGUUAACUUUUUACUUGGAUCUUUGGCGAAAGGUCAGUUGGAGCAGAAACUGGAACGAGGGGAAAACAAGAGAGGAAAACGGCCGACGAUGGCCUUUCGGGCGUGCGACGAUGGAGGGGCUGGUGAGCUCGGUUUCCUCUGGUUCUCUUGAGCUUUUCCUAAGCCUCAACCAUGGAGAAAGCCAUGAAUAAAGGAAGAAGAUGGUCUGCUGAAGAGGGGGGUCUCCUUGGUGGCUCACUAGAGCUCAACACUUGUCUAAACCUCAUUUGCUUUGCCCCCACCAUGACAUCACAUGACAUCAUCCACUCUCUCUCCUCAAUCUUCCUCCACAACCUUGCCAAUAGGUGCAAAAUAGCUCUUCCCCAUGGUAUACGAAUUUCAUACAUUUGUACAUCAAAUUCAAUCAAUUCUCACUCAAUUCCAUCCAAUUGAAGCUCAAUUAAAUCAACCCAUGUGUCCUCGGCCUUCUCAUGAAAUUUCCCCAUCAAAUGAUCCAACUUGCAUCCCGAAGAUUCGAUUAAAAACGGCCCUCUGACAAUCCCGAACAAAAACGAGAUUACUUUGCUUUUCCGCCAAAAAUCUCGGUUUGUAGAAAAAUCUUCUGGAGAUGAGUCGACAUUCCUAAAAUGAAUUAUGACUUGACAGAACUUCCAAUUUCUAUAAUCGGGUUCAAUUUCACGGUUAAAUUCAAUCUGGCGUGACUUUAGCGCAUCAUAAUCUACCGGGUAGCUUUUAGGAAUUUUCUGUGCAAUUGACCUGUGGUUGAUUAUUCUCAAGCCACAAAGUGCAUCUUUGACACAUUGGCGACUCUUGAUUGUCGUAGAAAUCUCGAGGUUUCAAAUACGGACAUAGGGUACCAAAACGAUAGAGAAAUCGGUCUAGUGUCGAUCAACAAGAAUUGUGCAAUUAGGUGGAAUCACCCAUACUGAAUUACAUGGUUAUGUUGAAUCGACCUAUCUCCGGUCUCUAAUCGGUCUGUGCCGUAAUGACCCUUGCAGAUUAGUACGGUCGAGCAGUCGUUUCCUGGUCGAAUUCUCAAGUCUAUUGCGUUUAGAUUCCUUAACGGCUUCACCUGAUAGACUAGUUAUCUCGUGAGUGAUCAGCUCAGAGAAGAAAGCUAUAGACGCGAAGAUGAAAUGCCCGACUUAUUUAAUUGAAACUAGAAUUGGAAAAUCGGGAUGUCACAAAGGCUAUUACAAUAGCAGAGACCUCAAACUGUGGUCGUCCCAAGGAUGCAGUCUGUGAUAGGCGUUCAAGAGGAUGAAGCAGAGCGAGGUCGGCUUCCAAACGGCCCCAGGCCUCGCAAAAGCAAGUGAGGAAACCAGAGGCCCCGGUUGCUCAGACGUGGGCAAAUGUUGCGAAGCUUGCAGCGAAAGGGUAUGACCUUACCUUUGUUCCUCCUUCGUUUGAGAUGAUGUCCUUGUGGUGGAUCUCCCUGAAGAAGUGCUGGAUGCGGUGGAUUCCAAAUGGUAUGAGUGCCUAGUUGGGUAUUAUGUAGGAAGGAGUUUUCCAUUCCAGCUCACGGAGCACACGCUCAAGCUUUAUUGGGGACCGAAGCUUAUUGAGGUCUUCGCCAAUGACCAGGGCUUCUUUUUCUUCUGCAUCCCUGACCCCGAGUUUCGAAGGAAGAUUUUGGAAGAUGGACCUAUAACGAUUGCAAGGGUUCUGCUCGUUUUGCAACGAUGGAAGCCUCUUCUAGAGUUGAAGAGGGAGAAGCAAACCACGGUGCCGGCGUGGAUUCACUUGAAGAACCUACCUCUUGACCUCUGGACAGCCCCGGCAAUUAGUGCCAUCGCGAGUACUGUUGGCAAGCCUUUGUUUGUUAAUCAACGCACGAAGCAAACUCAAAGGAUCUCUUUCGCAAGAGUUUGCGUGGAGCUUCAAGUUAAUCAGCCGAGGGUCUCCUCGGCCAAGGUAAGACUAAAUGGAGUUGCUCGGUUCAUUGCCAUCGAGUAUGAGUGGAAGCCAGCGGAAUGCUUAAAGUGUGGCUCCUUUGGGCACAAUUGUGCAGCCUCUUUAGCUGGUCCGAAGGCGGUGCAAGGCCAGCAGCAGGUUCAAGCCAUCCCCUCCCCCCCAGUGGAGGUCCGCCCCCCCGAGACUUCUCCGGUGUUGGUGGUAGAUCUGAAUGAGGCUAAAUUGGGGUGGAAACAAGUCAAGGGAAAGAAGAAGAAAUCUCCCCCUCCUAAGGAGACGUGCUUAGCCCAUCCGAUCAGCUCUGGAGACGAGGAGCCAUCCCUUAAGUAGGCAGCAGCAACUCUUAAGAGCUUGCCAUCAACCUCUACCCAGAGGGCUCAGAGUGGACUUCGAGCCCUCAUCAAGGUGGAUGCUCCUGACUCGACAGUGGAGGAAAACGCCAUUAGCCAUCCAGAUGCAGACUCGGGGAGUGGAGCAGAGUUGAAUGGGUCUGCCAACCACCUAGAUAGCUCAGAUGAUGAUCUUCUCUCGCCUUGUCUAUCGCCGAAGGCUCCUCCAACUAGGAGCAAGGAGGAGACUACCCAGGACAAGUUCUUGGCGCUCUCCCCGGUCCCACCUCCUCCAUUGGCUCGUGCGGCUCCCUCUCCGAGCUGUCGCAAGCCACCGAAAAAGAGGUAACCCUUACUCUCUUCCUCUUUUGUACAUAUGUAUAUAGGAUCUGGAAUAUUAGAGGCCUUGUCGACCCGACUAGGCAAACGAAGAUUCGUAACCUCAUUAUUUUGAACCACUUGUGCUGUAUUGGUUUGGUGGAAACUAAGGUGCCACAGGAUCGCUUCAACUCCAUCUCCGAAGGUCUAUUGAGGGAUUGGUGUUGGAUUGUAAACUAUGACUUCUCCCCCAGGGGUAGAAUUUGGGUUGGUUGGGACCCCGUGAGGGUUAAGUUUGAAGCCUUCUUAGUCACCAAGCAAGUGAUUCAUGGGAACUUUGAGAGCCUGGUCUCUGGGGUGGCUUGCUGUGUAUCUUUUAUUUAUGGAGAACACUCCUUUUCGCUGAGGAGACCUCUUUGGGAGGAUAUCAUUCUUAGAAGCAUCCAUCUCCGGGACACUCCUUGACUUGUCUUGGGGGAUUUCAAUGCUAUUAAGGAUCCAUCGGACCGUGUUGGUGGCUCCGAAGAUUGGCUCCCUUGUUUUGAUGAGUUUAGACAGUGCUUGGAGCAAGCCGAGCUGGAAGACUUGAGGUUCGUUGGUUUUAGAUACACUUGGACUACGUCUUCAGGGCAUUCUAGGAAAGCAAGAAAGAUUGACAGGGUUCUAGUGAACGCCAAGUGGAGCCUGGAUCUCUCUUACUCGGAAGCCUCCUUCCUAGCACCGGGAAUCUCAGAUCACUCGCCUAUGGUGGUGAAGGUGCUUAAUUCGACUCACCGGAGGAAGCCCUUCAAGUUCUUCGACUUCUGGAUGAAGCACCUGGAGUUCAAUGAGAUUGUCUCGCAAGUGUGGAAUGCGCCGGGGGGUGGUGUUCCUAUGUAUAGGCUUGUGUCUAAGCUCAAGGCUCUUAAAUGUCGGCUCAAGUAGCUCAAUAGAGAUUCCUUCUCUAAUAUCUCUGCCAGAACUCUUGAUGCGCGGAAGUGUUGGAGGCCACUCAAGUAGAUUUGCAACUAAAUCCCUUUUCCGCUGACCUUACUGAACCCAAACGACACCAGUAAGACGUAUCUUUGCAGAGUUGCAUUCCUCGGAGGAGUCAUUCUUCAGGCAGAAGUCCAAGGUCAUAUGGCUCAGGGAGGGAGACUGUAAUACCAAGUUCUUCCACCAAUAUGUUAACAAAAGACAUUUGAGGAGCAUAGUCAUUUCCAUCCUUAACUCUUCGGGGAACCUGGUGACUGAGCCACGGUUGGUGCAACGACAAUUUGUAGAGUUCUUUGAGGACCUCUUGGCACCGCAAGAGGAGCUCAUUAGAACUUCGCUAGAGGACUUGAGGGAGGUUAUCCACCAUCCACUCUCGGUUGAUCAGGCUGUGCUCCUUGCUCGGCCGGUUACAGAGUUGGAGAUUCGGGACACUAUCUUCUCCUUGCCUAGGGGAAAGGCUCUUGGGCCGGAUGGUUUCACAGCGAAGUUCUUCAAAGAAAACUGGGACAUGGUUGGUCCUUUAGUAUUGGCUGCAGUGAUGGAUUUUUUCACCUCCAAAAAACUCUUGAGGGAGAUUAACAAUACCAUCUUGGUGAUGGUUCCUAAAGUGCUCAACGCCACUUCUGUGGAGGAUUAUAGGCCUAUCGCCUGCUGCAACACUAUUUACAAGUGUAUUACAAAAGUGCUAGUUAAUCGGGUGGCCUUAGUUUUGAAGAGCACGAUAGGCCCUUUUCAAAUUGCUUUUGUAAAAGGCAGGCGGAUCAGGGACAAUAUCUUGCUAGCUCAGAAGCUGUUCUCUAGCUUCCACAUUGAGCCUUAUCUCCCUAAAUGUGCGAUAAAGGUGGACUUCAGGAAAGCCUAUGAUACUGUGGAUUAGGACUUCCUCGAAAGUGUGUUGAUGGCCUUUGGCUUCUCUCAGUCUGUGACUCAACUUAUUAUGACUUGUGUUCGCACACCUAAAUUUUCAAUUGCUUUGAAUGGAGAGCUCCACGGUUUCUUUGCGAGCGGUCGAGGCUCCGCCAAGGUGAUCCCAUUCUCUCUUACCUUUUCACUAUGGUUACGGAAGUGUUUUCAGGGAUCAUUCUUAGGUACUCUUCGAGGCCUGAUUUCAAGUUCUUCUGGAGGUGCAAGGCAGUGGGUCUUUCACAUCUCUUUUUUGCGGACGAUGUCUUCUUUUUUGUGAGGCUCAUCUUCCUACGGUGGCUCUCCUUAAGGAAGGUCUUUAUAUCUUUUCCUAUUGGAGUGGCCUUUGUCCUAGCCCGUGCAAGAGUGAAAUUUUUUUGGCGGGUGUUGAUCCCUCCUUAAGGAAUAAUAUUCUCUUGGAGUUGGGCUUUCAAGAAGGAAGCUUGUCAGUUCGGUACCUGGGGGUUCCCAUUAUCACUUCGAGGAUCAGCAAAGCAGACUAUUGUACCCUGGUCAAUCGUAUCACUGCAAGGGUUCAGUCUUGGACCCACUGAUUCCUCUCUCUUGUUGGUCGGAUUCAGCUUAUCAAGUCAGUUCUUCAUGCUAUACAAGCCUACUGGGCUAGUGUUUUUGUUUUACCUAUAGCUGUGGUGGACCAGAUAGAGAAAAUAUUUAGACAAUUCCUAUGGAAAGGUCUGGACCUAGGCAGGGGUGGUGCUAAGGUAGUCUAGGAUGAAGUUUGCCUUCCAAAAGAUGAAGGAGGACUAGGUAUCAAGAGGCUCCAAGAUUGCAAUAAAGCCGCCAUGCUAAAGCAUAUCUGGCUCUUGUUCUCCGAUAAGGAAGCGCUGUGGUGUAGAUGGGUCCAUUCCACUUUCUUAAAAAACAAGAACUUUUGGGUUGCUAGGAAGCCAACAUCUGGAUCCUGGGCCUGGAAGAGCUUGUUGAACUUAAGAAGGGAUUUCAGGAUGGCCUUCUACUGGAAAAUUGGCGAUGGCCAAACAACCUCCCUUUGGUUUGACAAUUGGCACCCUAGAGGGCCCUUGAACUUGAUCUUCUCAAAUUCUCUUAUCUAUAGCUCAGGGCUCUCUAGGCAAGCUUGUGUUGCUAACCUCUUCUCAGAUGCUGGCCAAGCUCUCAGGAUGGUGCUUGAAUCGUGGGGUCAUCCUCUUCCGGUCUUGGCGGGUGUCCCGGAUCGUUGCUACUGGUGUGAAAGCUCUUCGGGCCAGUUCUCUAUGGCAUUGGCGUGGAACUUCAUCAGGAAGAAGAGGACGCAGGUCCAUUGGUACUCUUUCAUGUGGGACAAUGCCAUAGUGCCUCGAUAUCAGCUCAAUUUUUGGCUCAUGGCCAAGCGCAAGCUUUCAACCCAGGAUCUCUUUCUGUCCUAUGGUAUAACUGGAAGUGCUACCUGUGCGUUUUGCAAGAAUAUGCCUGACUCUGUUGAUCACCUUUUUUUUUUAUUGUUGUGUCACAGCUAGCAUUGCUUUCUUUUGGGCUUCCAGAUGCAAUUUACCUUGGCGUAACAGAACUUGGGGGGAGAAAUUCCGAUGGGCAGCUACCUAUUUGAUAGGUAAAGAUUUCUACAAGUGCAUAGCCCGUUUUUCCUUUGGCGCGCUUUGUCAUAUCAUUUGGAAAAACAUGAAUAACAUCAUCUUUAGAGACCAGCAUCUCUCGGUUCCGGCCAUGAAGAACCACCUCUUCAAAGUGGUCCGAGACAAGGCUAUCACCUUCAGGAACGUCGAAGAUAAUUUCAUAAUCAGAAGGUUGCAGAGAAGUUGGGGCCUAGACCCAAUUAUUUUCACUGGGGACCCAUAGGUAGCUCGAUCUGACGGUGGCCUCCUCCUCGCAUUUGUUGUGUUUGGUAGCCGGUUGACCUAGCCAUGCUUCGUUUGGUCUUGUUGUUGUAGUGUUUGUGCCGUCUUUUGCGGCUUUUACAUCUCGUCACCCUUCCACUUCUUUUGUUCCUACAUUUGGAGUGCAAGUUCCCGAUGUCGAGAUCUUUUGUACAUUUGGCCCUUCCUUAAUAUAUUUAUUACCUUUUACCAAAAAAAAAAACAAAAACAAAUAUAAGUCACAGCCAAAAAUAAAGGAACUCUUCAAUUAACUAAUGCAAUGCCAAUUCUUGAUUUGUAGGAAUUAGAAAUAUUUGAAACCGACCUUGCCAUUCCAGUAAGCAUGAUAGACCUCUCCAUAAGAGCCUGUUUGAAAGACGAUGAAAUGGGAUAAAUUUUUUGACAUAAUAAACAGUAAAUGCAAUUCAAUGAGAAAAUGCUGCGGUACAUCCUAUAAUAACUACUGCAAUUAUGCUUAUAUUCGGAUUGCCGUAAAAAACUUUCUAUCAGAAGGCAUGCACUUCUUGUUACAUGGCUAGCUAGCCAUGAGCAUAUUAGGCGGUAAAAUGGUGAUAAAGCAUAUCUCACAACACUAGACAAAUUUCACCAAAAAUGCAGCAACAGGAUCAACAUAUAUGAAUUCAUGAGUCUUGCUCUCUGAGCUAAUAUGUGGACCUGCAUAAGGACAUGAAUAGAAUCUAUCCAACCAGGGACUUAAUCAAAGCAAUACCUAGUCCAAUCCUUUCACCAAUGACCAAAUGUUCCCAUUGAAUCUCAUCACCAACAUCAACAUCAUCAACUUUAUUGGUAUAACUAUCAAUUGAUGCACUGGGCCCUUCUGAAUUCUUUAACAUGAAGUUUGUGUCUGUGAAUCUGUCAUUAGUGCACCUUUUCAGAUAAGGAAAAGAAUUUUCAUGACCACCACAUCUGCUCGGAAAGUUUGCUAUGCCAUGUUGCAAAUUCUCCAAAGUUUAAGAGGGUCUUCCCUGAUGUGGGCAUUCAAGCGCUCUCACAAGGCAUUGUAUUAUACUGGUCUGUGCUACAUCCCAACAUCAGACUAUUCUUACUGGAAGGAUUUUAGUGACUACUCUCUUUGAUCAAUUGAUUUGUAACAAUACCAUUACAAAUAAACCCACAUCAACAUUUGCCAAUCAAUACAUGACCUCCUCUUUUGAGAAUCAUUAAAUCUUCUUUUUAUAAAAAAAUGCCAGAUGUGGUAUUUUUUGUCACUUCAUAUGUGCACUCAACAAAGAAACGGGGAGAAAGAAAUAAUAAAUCACAAUCGUACGAAGAAGAACACGUAUAGUGACAUCCAAAUAUCGAAUAUCAAGAUCAUGAACUAAUCUCCUCACUGUUUUAGUAUAUACGUCAUUCCUCGUGUUAAUAUCCUCAAACCGUCUUGGGGAUUAUUAGAGAAAAUAUCAUCCAAGACCGAUUCUUGAAGGAUAAUGAGAGUCCCAUCCAUGUAACACUUGACAGUAUUCGGAUAAAUCUCCUCAAGUUUUAGAAAAAAGAAACUCAAUCCACCGCAACCGUUUAAACCAUCGCAGAACUGUAAUUCUAGCUUUCGGCCUUUUAACACGCUUCUAGUGUCAAAUUGCAAAUAACUAUCGAGAGAAGCCCGGUUUGGGAAGUCUAGUUCAUCGAACCCAACUCUUGGAGGACCCGACUCGACCUCUUCUUUUAUGUGUGUCGUUGAUCCAGGUUUGAUGGAUUCCCUUCUUCCUAGCUCUAUAUUCGAUUCGAAUACGCCGAGGAAAGAGAGGAUUCUGGGGAAAAGAGGUUUAGGUUUUGAGUGUUAAGGAUGGAAUCGAAUGGAUUUAGGAGAAGGGUUGGAUUUUGAGGAAAAUCGAAGUGAAAAGGAAGUGAAUCUUGCCUUCGAUUUGAAGAAAUUCGACGUAAAAUGGAGUGGGUGAUGAGAUUCGAGUGAAUGAAGGUUGGAGGUAAGUGAGAUUCGUGGACUUAGAGAGAAAUCGUGGUUUUACAAAUAACUAAUAAAGAAUAUGCAGCAAACAAAAGUUAACUUAAAAUCAUUCAAUACUCACCAUUUUUAUUUUACCCUAGGGCUUAAUAAAACUAUCCGCCAUUGAAUUAUUGGUGUCCGCAAACUCAACCACAAGAAAGUUGAAUUAGAUUUUUCCACAAGCUGGCAGCAUUGCUAUUGUCAAACCUGUGGGAACAUUUUUUUUAUAACAGUUAUUUUAUAAUCACACGAUUGAUGUUUCACCCCGAAAUUUGAGCAUGAUAAUUACCCGCGACAAUAAAUUUGACUUCUGUCGCAACUGAAAUUCUUUGGGAUUUGUACGCUAAAAAUUUUAGAAUUUGUCGUGAAAGAGCAAUUGAGUCAUGAAAAUUUCAAAAAACACAAUCAAUUUCUCAAAUUUGUUAAAUUGGUAACAAUCAAAGUGUGGAGACGUAAUAAUCACUGGUAAAUUGCUUUUUAUGUGAAAAAGGAGGAGGAGGGGAUAUAAAAAUCAAAUGAAUAAAAUAACAAGUGAAAAUAAAAUGAAAAGGUCCUUAAAUUGCUCUAAUCCAUCACUGUACCUCAACCCACCAGACCAAGAUCAUUCAAGUUCGAAUUUCAAUUCAAUUUCACGAGGAAUUUGUCCGGCGAGCUUCUGAAAAAAAAAAUCCGCCGCACUUCAGAUCAUCUGUCUUGGCUGUUCUAUUCCAGCGACCGAUCGCUUGCGAAAUCCAGUGGAAGCUAGACCCCCCGCGCUCCAGGUCUAUCACCACCACUACCAGUCCUAUUCGCCGGAGAGGAAGUGGAGCGAAGGAGAGAUUUCUGCUCCCUCGCGGACCUUUCUUCAUUGAAUCAUCGAGACUCCAAGGAUGAGAAUACUCUUCUGGAUACUCGACUGAACCUACGACGUCGACUCCAGUCCAGUGUUCGACCGCCGCAAACAUUCGAAUCUCCGUCGGCCAAGGCGCCUCCACCUCUGGUCGCUUCGACCUCAGCCAGGUCGAAGAGAUGAAACGAAGUAUUGACAGAAACAUGCCGAAGUCGCGGCCGAUCGAAGCCGCUGCUCCUGAGCUUUACUGAUCACAUCUCCCUGUUCUGCUGUGUUUGUUGUUCGGAGAUCUCGAAGUGCCUUGCACUCACUUAACCCUCCUCUGUCAGGUCCGAUCAUCUCUGGCGACACGCCCAGAACUCCUUGUAAGUUAAGCAGCUGAUCGCGACUGCAAUCGCACAUCAUCAAGGCAAAACUGUUAUUGUUUGUGUGAAAAUCGGCCACGAUUGAGGUUCUAUUAAGGAUUCAAGCUUGCUCCGAUGUUGUUGUGAUGAUCUAAAAGUGAAUCGUCAAUUCAUAUUCGUGUACAAUCUUCUUGAUCGAAAUGCGUAUCACCUGUUUGAUGAAAUGCUCGAACCAUAUUUCUUUCUAUCAAAUCAUUGAGCCGAAAGUCGUAACGCAUCAACUCAACCCACUGUUGACUUAUUGAAACCUCACUGUGACCGAUUUAGUUGGACUUCGAUGCUCACUUGCUAUUGAAUUGGUGUUAUGAUUCUCAUGUUGGAAAUUGCAUCUUGAUUUCUCUGGUUCGAGUCGAGCCUUCUAUACGAACGGAGUUGAGUGUUGGAAUCGUUGCUUAUAUGCUCAGAUUUUUCUAUUGUAUCUCAUUUUGUAUAAUCCAUUUUCGGUAUUACUCUGACGUGUCAUCGCUGUGUAUGUGUUGUGGCCGGCGAACGAUGGCAACCUCAAUCUUUGGACCAGUGAUCGAGCAAGAGCUUGUCCCUCGAAAUAGAAGCUCAGAGAACCUUGGUGACUGUGCUUGACAAGGCCACAAUCAUAACUAUGGACUCUUUAUCCUUCUCUCUGCAUUUAGUUGUCUUCAUUGCAUGUGCUUCUUCUUUGCUGUCCGUCAUUCACAUCUUUGGUUAUUGGUCUGUUUUGGGGUCCUGCGAGCACGAAGUCAAGGGUGUACGGCAGCAACUGGUAAAACUCCUACUCUUUCCGCAUACGCAUUGCUCUCAGCUUGAAAGGUUCGAGUAUGGGUGCAUUCAUGUAAAUCCUCCCUUGCCUAUAAUCUCUGUUUUUGGUUUUCCCUUGCUAUCCUGAUUAUGGUGCGAUCGUAUUUGGAGAGCUUGAGGCCUUGAAUAUUUUAAUUCCACCAACCAAAAAAAAAAAAAAAAAAUCGUAGUAGCUGGAGUUCUUUGGGGAAGUAUUCAUUGCUUUAGGGGAAUUGGGCAAGCAAAAUUAAAAUUUGUAUUGCAGAGCUAGGUAUUAAGCCAAUCUUAACCUAUUAUCUUGCAUUUACUUGGCCAGGGUUUCAAAUAGGAUCCGGUUUUUUAUAAUCCAUUCUAACCUGCACAAACUUACACAUCCAAAUAAUUUGUGGCGAUUACAAAUAUACAAAAGUGGUUUUAGAAUCAAGGUGCCAACAAUCUCCCUUUUUUAUGAUAAGAAAAUCACUUUUAAAGCCUCAAGUUAAACUACUACCCUCAACAUACUACAGGAAAAAUAAAUCAAGUGAAUACAUCGCAUAUAAUAUGCAGAUUUUACUAUUCUUCCCUUUUGUCAUAACAUCAAAAAGGGCUUAAGGUAGAAUGUAUCACCAAACACAUAGUAACCAUUUGUAUAUCAAGGACAUUCAUAAAACGUCAAUUCAACACAAGGUCUACAACCAUUAAGUGCAACAAAAACAUAGAACAAGUUCAACAUAAACUUAAAGCACGUUCAACAUAAAACAACUUCAACAUAAAUUACAAAUCAAUCUAAAUACAAGUUUAAAACAGAGGAGGAAAUAGAGGAUUUUGGGAAAAUAGUGAGGAUUCUGAAGAAAGUAUUGGAUGAAUUGAGGGAUUGAUGUCCUGUCAAAGUUGGUGAAAAACAUUUAGCAUUUCAUUUCUCACCAUAAGGAUUUCUUCCCUAAAGUGAACUUAGCUCAGUUAGAAAGUGCCUCAACUGACAACUAAUCCCGUACUUCAAUGGCUCUUAGAACGCGUCAAUGGUGUCAAUACCCUUUGAAUUAGGGUUGGCCAUCCCAUCCAUUUUCUCUCAUCCAAACUCCUUGUCACCUCUAGAUGUCCAGACUUGUGAGUGUGGACUCUCCAAUGUAUUGACCAUCAAGUAAAGCCUUAGGAGUUUUCCCAUCGAGAUUGCCAUCAAAAGACUUGAAGGUAUGAGUAAGAGCCAUCCCAUCCAGUAAGUCCUUUCCUUUUGAAACACUGCAUUUAACCAUAGUAUCAAGUAUUAAGUCACUCAAAGAUACCUCAAACCCAUUCUUAAUCUUGAAGAUCAACAUGAGUCGGUCCUCACAUGUUAAAUCAAAGAAAUAGGGAGCAAGCUAUAUAUCACAUCAUAUGAAGAUAAGAUUAAUGUAGCGUAACAAAUUCUAGACUCGUGAAUUUUUGGUUUGUAGGGUCUUGCAUCUUUCCUGGGUUUCUAACUAGCCCAUAAAAUGUUAGUGGCAACUCAUUAGUCUAAGUUUAAAUGAAUAAUUAAUUGGAAAACUAAGUUGUAGUUGGUAACACUUGGGAGGAUCCAUGUUAGCCAUGGGCCCACCUAAUAAGAGGAACCACCCUCGGAAAGGUUGCGAUAGUUCUUAAAAUACUAUAUGUUUUCGUACUAGUUUAAAUGUCUACUCGUUACGGGAGAAAGAACUCCAAAAUUUAACACAAUCAAUAUAUGACAAGAUCUACAAUAAGAUGUUAUUAAUAAAUAUUGCAAAAAAAAAAAAAAAAUUGGGAGCAAAUGAACACAAAAGGAUGAGAUGAUGUAUCACCAGAGAAUGUCGAGGAUUUCUACCACAUAUUGCCAUAAUAUAACUUCUAAUGGUCCUUCUCUUGAUGCUACGACCGUGCAUUGGCUAUAACACUAAAAUAUAUUGAUGAAAUUUAUUCUGGCAAUAAACAUAGCUAAUGAAGAGAUAGUGAUUGUGGAGCAUACAUCAUCUUCCUCGUUGGCUUAAAAAUACGAGAUCAAAAUUCAACGCAAAUAUCUUAAUCCAUUCCGCAAAAUGAAGAUAAUCACCUAACCCGCAUGUCCUCACGUCUCUAAAGCAAUGAUUUAAGCAAUUUUUUUUAAUCCACAAUACUUAUGUCAUCAUUAUUAUUUAGGAUAGUCCAAAUGGUGUGGUAGAAAUACAAUUCAGAUGAAGGUGCAACUAGAAACAAAACCUCAAAAGGAGAUGAGAGGAAGCGAGCCUAGUGCUGAUCAAACCGAUGCACUCUUAUGCCACCUCUUGAGGAAUUGUAUAAUCAAAUUUCUGAACACUGCUAAACUUUCAAGGAGGAGAUUUGCUAAUAGGAUUAUAUAUAUUUUGUAGGUUUUCAAUUGUGAUUUUCUUGUGCCUUACAUUGAUUUGUAUAGCUGACUUUCAAAUAUUUCUUCUUUUAUUUUGGAUUUAAGGGGAGGGAUCAAACCAGGCAUCUAAUGAUUUAGUGAAAUUCAUUUGUCGUGGAACCAAAAUAGUUAACAGGCUUUGCAUGAGUCUAUAUGGUCAAGUAGAAUAGGCAUGCUACCGAUUACAAGAGUUCCUAGCCACGAACCAUCCAUUAACUAUAUAUAUAUACAAACAUAGUGUAAUUAAUUAAUAAACUUAUUCUCUUGUGCAGGCUAGUGUGAGCAAAUGUAAAUGGUGAUGAAGAAACUAUUUUGUUACUUCUUAGGCCCUUGCAAUUAUGUUUUGUCUUGCACGAGUCGAAGCUUACGAAAGGAAAAUAUAAGUCUCUUUCCACGCAUUUGUAAGCGAGAAGAGGGAAAUUUUAUGGUGCGCUCACGUAAAUAUUGCUCACUAAUCAAAACCAUUCCUUAUUAGACAGGAAAUGGAGCUCGCGGCCACCCGGCUCACGCGAGCUCCGGCCACUGGCCGUCCCUCUUUACGCCAUCAUGCGUAUUCUGGUUCGUCGACGAGAGUGCCGUCGCAGGUUCCGACCCCGUUAGGGCUAGGGAUCUCUCGCUUCGGUAGCGCACUCGAGCCGUUCGACAAAAUGCCACAAUGAGAUCUGGGUUUUAUUUGCCUGUUUUGGGCAGAGCUGAGUCGUUCAUGCUUGUCAUGCUCCCCGGUGGCCUUCCUGCGAUGCCGGAUUCCCUGAGUGUUGGCCGUUCAUUUGUUCCGUUGCCUCCGUCGUUGUUAUUGUGUGUACGGCCGAGGAUACCGGCGGCGAGAGCGCCGGUUGAGGAGGGGCAACUCGGGCAAAGACCAAGCCCGCGGUUUGGGCCACCCAAGGCGACGACCGAGUGGGCGUACAGCACGGCCAAGGCGAGCGGCGCCGCUGUCUCAGCUGGCCAAACCGCGGAGAGCAGAGGGUGCCGCGAGGAGCGCGGAGAACGCCAGGUGGUGUCGGGUCGGAUCUGGGUCAGGAACAGGAUCCGAUCGGAUCUUUAGGGUUUGGUCUUUGGGCUGAGAUGAAUUACAGAUGUUGGGCUUAUUUUGUUUUCUUGGGCUAGAUUUAGUUUAUUUGCUUUUUAGGGGCUGGGCCCGCAAAUCAGACCCAGUCCGGCUGGGGGUCUCGCUACCCAGGUCGCGGGCCCGGGCUGCCUUCGACCUCCCUUUAUGGUAAUAUUUUAUUAUCUAUAUAUCAAAAUGUAUUUUAAAAAAUUAAAAGAAAUUCAAAAGAUUCUGAGGUGAGGAAAGGCAUUAAAAAUAACUGUUGAGUAAUUUUCUCCAAAGAAAUGUAUGAAAAAAAAAUUAAAUCUAAAGGUUUAAAUAAAAUUAGGUAACGAAAUGUCAUUAAUUAAUUAAUUGGUGUAAUCAAGUCCUUAAUCCUAAUUUCUCUGGUUGUACAUGAGUAAAAUGUUUUUUUCAAUAUUUUAUUUGGAUUUUUAAUUGACCUACCAUAAAUUGAUUACCGACGGCUCAUAUAUGAAAUGACUUGCAAGUUAAAAACUCGAACUGUAAAUCACAAAUUAGCGGGCUUAGGAGAGUCUGGACUAGGCUUGGACUUAGCCACCCAUUAACCUCUGCGCCUACAAGAGUGUUUGAAGAGGUCGCAACAUGUGCAUAUCUCCUUUUAUUUACCUCAUAUAUGCACUCAACAAAGGAACACUUCAAUAUGUAUUUAGUAAUGCCAAAAAAAGAGAAAAGUUUUCAGUGGGCCAAAGAUCAGUUAUUGUUGACUUUUGAGCACUUGUUAGGGAAGUGCUCACACGAAGCACUACGAUUUAAGGACCAAAUUAACUAGUGGAAAAUUCACAUGAGUCCACAUGAUCAAAUAAGAAAUAGUUGUUAUCAAUUACGUUAUGGAGGAAGUUCCUACAUACGAGCAAUCCAUUAGUUAGAUAUUAUGAAAAAAAUAGACUAAAUUCUAUUGUGCAUAUAAGUGUGAGUCUAUGUCUGGUCCAUAAUGAAAGGAAAAUAAUGCAAAUCACUGUGGCCAAAAGUAAUGGCCGACAAAAAUAAAAGCACCCUUUGAACAACAUCAUCAAAUUUUCUAGAAUCAUUUUUGAGGGAUCAGCAUCACCAAGCUUAGCAAACCACAGAAUUAGCAUUACAAAGAAAAGGUGGAGGGCAUCGCAGACUUUUACAUGCUUGAUGAUGCAAUCACAUUAGCAUUUGCACAAUGCUUUCUCAGUAAAUUGAAAGGAAUAAAGGGGAGGGAAAAUGCGACAAUUGCUUUUGCUUCAAGAUUCUGUUACUUUGUUUUUUUUUUCUUUUCUCUUUGAUAAAAAAAACAUUUUAUUUUGCAUUUAAAGUCAUUAAUUUUUUUUUUCUGUUUUAUUUUUUCAAUGAUAAAACUAGGCCACAUCAGCUUAUCAUACAAGCGUUAUUUGCUGCGUAAUCAAUGAUGAGUUCAUUUUAUUGGUUAAAGUGAAAUUAUUUUUAUUCCUUUCACAUAAAUACGUGAUUUUGUAAUGAUUUGGCAUGGACUUCAAAUGAUAUCUAUCUACAUCUUAUGUGCUAUUGGCACUUGAAUCACGUGUAGCCACCCUCUUUAUUAAAAUAUAUACACGAAAAAGAAAAAUAGGAAGAAUAAACAAAAAAUGGGUAAAAUAACUGCAACAUAAACUCAUUUCAGUGGCACCAAUAUUGAUCUCUCUAAGCUUUUAUAUGUCCGUUAAUGGUAAUUGUAUGACAUCAUGUUUAACUAUCUUCUUGUUGGUACCCUAAUAUGCGACUUAAAAAUAUUUGGUAAACUUGGAAAAUUAGCAAGUCUUUGCGCACUUUUAUUAAGACAAUUCAGCCCAUGACAAUUGAUAGGUUAAAAAAAAGAUUUCUACUCAUUGGAGAACAUCUACAUGUGAAUUCACACAUAAAAUUUUCAAAAUUAUCAUCACAUAUAAUGCUUAUUUUUCUUUCUUCAUUCUUUAUUCAAAUAGUGAUUUACAAUGGUUGGACAGUUGAACUGGUGGAAUUGUUUUCUGACCCUCACUCCUAUUGAACCUCUAAUAUCGUUUUUAAAGCAUUACCUCUAAAUGGUGGACUAAAAAUCAUCAGUGUUUUUUAUUGAAAGAUGGGCACGUGGAAAUCUUUAAUUAAGGGCCAUCAACUUUGGUUUAUACAUCUAUCUAUAGAAUUUCUUUAAUGGACGACCUUAUUCUUACUUUAAUAAAAUUCCAUCUACUUUAUUCGAAGAUAGUGCAAGUGAAUAUGGAGAUAUAUCCAUGUGAAAAAAUAUGGUUGUUAAAAAACGAUUCGUCUUUUGCCUAGAAUUCAUUCUUCGUCCUUUUAAACAUGGAGAGAGAGAGAGAGAGAGAGAGAGAGAGAGAGAGAGAGAGAGAGAGAGAGAGAGAGUCCCAUACCAACACAUGCUCACCAAACUUCCUUGAUUCAAUAUCAUAUUUUAUAUAAAGGGCUAUAUUUUUCUCCAUCCUUAAUUAAAAGCAACUUUCUUAAACCAUAAUUUUGAUUGGUGGAUUACAAAUUAUAGACAUCACCUACAUACAAAGAUAAGUGUGGAUGAUAUACAUGUUGUUUAAAAAACUCAGUGACCGUUACAAACUUGUUGAACUAAAAAAAAAAAUUAAAAUGCAUAUCUUCUUCUUGAACAAGAGAUUUUAAUAAGCACCAUUGAGCUCAAGGAAGUGUCGUUUGGAUCAUAGCAAAUCAUCCAUAGUAUCAAGUUUUCUCGAUAAGUAGCACCUGUACUACAUUUAUGGUGUUAAUCACAAAACAAGGGAUGCCCAUGGUCGCAGAUGCAUCUCCUAACUUUUUACUAAGAAAUCAAUUUUCUUAUCACGAGCACAAAAUCAGGGACAAAAAAAUGUAUUUUUAUCCAAGUAGGAUUUGUAAAUUUAUCUGCCAAAGUUGAUGGACAUUUGAGAGAAAUCAAAAGGGACAAUCUAUUUUGACAGAAGGCAGAUAAAAAUUUGAUCAGAAUCUAUUAAAUCCUUCAAACCCUACGUACCAAAAACUCAAAUUGCUACCAAUCGCUCCAAGGUUCCAUACCUCGCCUCACAAAGUGCACUAAGUGGAGGUUCAACAGAGUGCGAACUUAUGCGAAGCUAACUGCGGAGAAAAAUAAAAGACGAAUGCUAGCAGGGGAAACUCCUCAUGAGCUCCUCCUUCUAACUUCCCCAAACUUCCCUGCACAUGUGCUUAUCUGUUGUUUCCACUUUCUCGGCUUUUUCGUUCUCUUCUGAUAAGUAUGAGAUUAGCGGCUGGCCACAUUUUGUGAUGAUAAUCAAGCUUCUGAAUGACUUUUUGGGUGGGUUUUGGUGUUAUAUCUUAGAAAUCCUUACAAUAAAUAUUCGACAAGUAAGACUUUGCUAAGCGGGUCCAAUUUCCCGUUUACCCACAAUGGAGGAGGCCUCUCCAGCACCAAUAAAAACACCAGAAUAAGCGGGCAAUCGCACCCCAGAGUAAAAUUGAAUCCCGGCCACGAAGCAAGGUAUGGUUUUAAUUAGCGCAUGUUUUCCCAAUUAAAGAAUACUAAAAGAAAUGAUAACAACCAAUAAAAAGUCAACAAAAAAGUUCGCCUAUGAAUUUUAAAUAUUUGUAAAACAAAAAAAUGUAUCUUUAAAACCACCGCUUGCGGUGACCUAGUUGGAUAAGGCUCUCAUGAUCCUUUGCAAGGAAGAGAGGAGUUCGAAUCCCGCUGGCCGCAUGGGAUCUUAAGUGCGACGUCGGAGUGGUGGGUCCUCCGCUAGCGUCGCCUCAGGGUUUGCCCACCGGCUAUCGGCUUACGGGGUUCCCCGGGUCAUCAAAAAAAAAAAAUAUGUAUCUUUAAUUAUUUCUUCACCCAGAAAAAUGAGAUGCCUAAGUAUUACAUUAGCAUCUAAUAUACCUAGCCACAUUUAGUGAUGACGUGGCACCGAGGCAGCCGCAAUUACAUUUCUAUUUGCAAUUUUAACAGAAGAACUGACUUGAGUAAAAAAGCGUCCUAGAAAACACAUUAAUAAAAAAAAAAAAAAAAAGCAUAUAGACAACACUGAACUCAUCGAAAAAUUGCAUCACUGAUCUUUUCGUUAUCUCUAAAUUUUUGGCACAAAUUUUAUGAAGAGGGAUUUUAAAGAAGUUCUGUUUUGUCAGUGUUCCGUUUAUCUUUGGCAGAAAAUCACUUGCAAUCAUGGAUGUGCGCAAGUUGGACAAAACUAGAGUGAUGAAUUCUGUCCUCAUCAUUUCUAAAUGUCCUUGACUUUGAUUUUGUGCGGCCUCGAUUCAGAGGAAGGGAUUGCUUUGCUGGUGUUGGGAGGUUUAAAGAAGCAGAUUGACUCAUCAAAGAAACGGAAUACAUCACGAGAUCCGGUUUAAGUUCAAGAGGGCUUGGGCUGGACGAGAAGAAACGAGAAAUAACGGAAAUUUUUAAUAUUUCUUCCCCAAGAAAGAUGAAAUACAUCAAUAUUGUAUUAGCAUUUAAUGUACCUUAGCUACGUUUGGUGAUGAAAACUAAGUCUUCUAUGUUAUAAGAUUUUCAUCGCUGCUGUAGCUUCAGCCAUUCUUCUAUCUCUCACACACUAAGUGCUUCUGAUUUUUUUUUUUUUUUGGGUCUAAUUUCUAAUAAUUUUAUCUCAGUCAAUAGAAAAAUUUCCAUCUUUUCUCUAAUUUAUCUGAUCAACAUUGAGACGUUAUUGAAGGCAAACAUGUCAACAUCUUGGUUUGCAAUAUAUAUAGGGACCACAUUGGUAAAAAAAAAAAAGUACAUGGGCUCACAUCAAACAAAUUAAAAAAACACAGAUACUAGAGAUUUCAUUUUCUCUAAACAUUACGCAUAAACUUUAUUAAUAGAUUAUGGAUGCUUUAAUCUUCUUCCACCAUAGUGGGGCUGUGGGGUAAUAACAUUUUUAAGAAAGUCAUCUACAAGUCUCAAAUUCUAUUCCCCUCUCCACAUGUAUCAUUUUUUCUAACGUUACGUAAGUCUCAAAGAGCAGCAUGUCGAAAGUUAAUUUCCACUAUCGACACCUUGACACUAACGCAAGUAUCGAUUCUUUCCACUAUUGUGGAGGGAAGCCAAUACGUCGCCCAUCUUCACUUUGAUUUGCGUGGCCAUCCGAUCCUAUUCCAAUAACAACUACCAAAAUAUCUCUGGAGUCUACCAUAGGGGUGGUAUUCUUGCCAAUUUAGAGGAAAUGAUUGUUUUGGUGGUUUUGGACACGGUAGAGGGAAGGAUUUUUUUGGCUGUUUGGAAGGAUUGUUUUGGUGGUUUUGGAUAUAGUGGAGGGCUAAAGAAGUGAAUUGCCUCUUUAAAGAUUGCGUGGAUUGCAAGCACACGUGGAUCAUUCUUUGGGGCAAGAGAAAAGGCAAAAGCUUGCUAAAGUCCCAAGGGCUUGUGCUUUAAGAGGAGAAACACAUCAGUAAGAACACCAUCCCCAAUCACCAAAAAUCACCGAGAGGCUCCUUUUAUGUUCUGAGAUACUUGGUUUGAUAGCUCGAAGCUGUGCGUGAAGAUAAUCCUUCGAUUGCACCAUCUUUCGGUACUCGAACACAACUUGAUCUAUUUCAAGGUAACUUACUCUCAAACACAAAAUAUUUAAUUAUUACUCAUUGUGGAUCAUCUAACAUCAUUUAAAGUAUAAAAAUGUAAGGUGUGAAAUUCGCGUGUGACUUUUUCAGAAUUUUCAUUACACAUAUUGCUCAUUUCUUUUGCUAUAAUCUUUUUAUUCAAACUGGUUGAUAUAAAUUCUUGGAUUGGUUGAACCUGGUGAAAUAGCAUAUUGGCCCUCACUCCACAGUUCUAUGCCUCUCACACAAAGUGCACAAAGUGAGGAUCCGACCGGGUCCAAAUUUAUGUGAAACUGAAUAUGAGAAAAAUAAACGGUAUAAGAAAAAUAAUAAUCGUAUGGCAAAANNNNNNNNNNNNNNNNNNNNNNNNNNNNNNNNNNNNNNNNNNNNNNNNNNNNNNNNNNNNNNNNNNNNNNNNNNNNNNNNNNNNNNNNNNNNNNNNNNNNNNNNNNNNNNNNNNNNNNNNNNNNNNNNNNNNNNNNNNNNNNNNNNNNNNNNNNNNNNNNNNNNNNNNNNNNNNNNNNNNNNNNNNNNNNNNNNNNNNNNNNNNNNNNNNNNNNNNNNNNNNNNNNNNNNNNNNNNNNNNNNNNNNNNNAAAACACUGGUAUUUAUAAACCUAAUAUUAGUAUAAGCGUUCCCUAUAUGGACAACAAUCGCCCACACAACUCCAUUCUUCAUUCCUCCUCUUUCGUAACUUCCAGCUUCAAGGGCGAAUGCAACUCAUGGUGGGCUCCUCUCAGUUACUCCUAUUAUCGUGGCCAAGUUCUCCGAACUUCUUACAAUUCGGCCUAGCUUGGGCGAAUUGCAUAUUCAGCUUAGCUAGAACGAGGGACCACCAUUCUAUUAAAAUUUCUUCUUUUCAAGAAACACUUUUCAAUGGGUGUAACUAACUACGACUUAAGUAUUUCUUUAACCAUUUUUUUUUUUGGCGAUUUUUCAUAGUCAACGAUGGUGUUUUUUCAACUGCUAAACAGUUAGCACGGUUUAUUUCUUUUUCGAAACUUAGAUAAUAAUUUACCUCAUCAUAAAAAAUAUGUUGCUCUUAUGAGUCAAGCGAGACUUGUCCUCGAGCAUUAGGCCGAGCCAUCAACAACGAUGUCAGAUUACUCAUUUUGAAUAAAUAUUCAUCAUGAUCCUCCAUUUUUUCUAAGGUUAAAUUGACAUUAUUCACUUAAUUUCAGGUCAUGAAAGCAUUUUGACUAAAAAAAUCCAGUAUGGCAAAUCAAUAUAUAGACCAUUUUCAUCCAUGCAAAAGUUUCAAGCCAAUUUUUCGUACACAUGAUUUUCCAAUGGGAAAGAUUUUCAUAAUUCUCUCAAAACAUUAAGGUGCUUGACCGAGUUAACCACCGAAAAGAUUUUCACACAAACAAUAUAUGAAAUGCUAGGCAUGAAUAAAUUUAAAGAAGUUAGGGAAGACUGAUGGUUAAACGAUCCAAAUCAGCACCUACUUCGCUUCUCAAGACCAUUCGGUAUUUAUGGCCAUCCCACUAUUUUUGAAGUCUUAUAUAAAGGUUGGUUUAUAAUGGAGCCAACGCUCCUCUGCAAGCAAGGUGAAGUAAUUUACUAGGGGUGGCAAAUAGGUGGGUCGGGUUGAAAAUGGGUCAACCCAUGUUUGA